RNAcentral lists this long non-coding RNA (59012 nucleotides) under Malus domestica (apple). Its description in RNAcentral is "long non-coding RNA (MDOM_LNC004908)". Lineage: Eukaryota; Viridiplantae; Streptophyta; Magnoliopsida; Rosales; Rosaceae. The record is from RNAcentral.
GAUAAUACCUCUACAAACAAGCUAUACUAGAGCAAGAAUAUCUCAUAUCAUCAGGGUUAAAAGCAAGAGUAUCCCAUAUCAUGCUUUUUCCUUGUCUUUUCCUUUGGCCUUGUUCUUACCUGCAAGACAAGGAGAAAGAGAGCAAUCAGUCAGCACUUGGAAUCAAGCUUCCAGCCAGGAACUGACUGCCUGGAACCCCUUACCUGAUUACUUACCUGGCAUUGCUCUCGAGUACUCAUCUUCAACAUCUUAUGCUUCCAGGGAAGAUACCGCAUCUGCCUGAGGAACAAAUAGGGCAAGUGAGAAGGAUACAAGGAAGCAUGUGGAGACAAGCGUAACAGCACACGUGCCGAUACAUCCACUACUCUGUCAAAAGAAAAAGUAUCCCAUAUCAGCAGGGUCAAACGUACUCUAGAUUUGAUGGACUUGUUUUGACCCUCAAAUUCUUGAGUCGGCCUUAUACUCUGGAGGAAACCAGAAAACCCUCCAGCUCAGUUCAAGAAUAAGCCUGUGGAAAGUUACUUCUUCAAAAGCAAAAGUAUCCCAUAUCAUCUAUUCUCAUUUUUCUUCUCUUUAUCCUUCAUGCUGCCUGCAAGAUAUGGAGAAUGUGAACAAUCAGCCGGAGCUCUGAUUGCUUACCUUGUCUGUCACCUCUUUCAGCAGAUCCCCUAGCUCGGCGACUUGGGGGACUCCUACUACAUGGUUUGUAUCGCGCUUGACCAAGCCUGAAACUACAAGUAAGCUUCAAGUGAAAUUGAUACAUUACCUUGUGCAUCUCCACCAGUUAAAGAUACCACCCCUGGAUGGAGGAAGAGUACUUCCAGAGAAGAUGCCACAUCUACCUAUGAGACAGAUAAGGCAAGUCAAGACGAUACCACACUCCGAUACUUAGAAGUUUCGUGAUUACGAGAUCAUUCUCCCACAAUAUUUCCUAAUGUCAUUUGUACUAAAUCAUUCACUUGUACUCAUUAAAGGAGAGCUUGAACCUAUGUACUUGUGUAAACCCUUCACAAUUAAUGAGAACUCCUCUAUUCCGUGGACGUAGCCAAUCUGGGUGAACCACGUACAUCUUGUGUUUGCUUUCCUAUCUCUAUCCAUUUGUAUACUUAUCCACACUAAUGACCGGAGCAAUCUAGCGAAGAUCACAAAAAACGACCGUUUUCGCUACCUAGGAUCUAUCUUGCAAGAGAACGGAGAAUUAGAUGGAGAUCUCAACCAUAGAAUACAAGCUGGAUGGAUGAAGUGUAGAGUGCAUCCGGUGCAUCCGUGUUGUGUGACCGUCGUAGGCCACUGAAGCUCAAGGGAAAAUUUUAUAGGACGGCAAUAAGGCCAGCGAUGUUGUAUGGCACAAAAUGUUGGGCGGUGAAGCAUCAACACGUACACAAAAUGGGUGUAGCGGAGAUGAGGAUGCUUCUUGGGAUGUGUGGGCACACGAGAAAGGAUAAGAUUGGGAAUGAGGAUAUCCGAGGUAAAGUAGGAGUAGCCGAAAUUGAAGGAAAGAUGAGAGAAAAUCGGUUCCGGUGAUUUGGACAUGUGUAAAGAAGGCCUACUGACGCUUCGGUUCGAAGAUGUGACUACGGGACAGAGGUUUAGGGCCGAAGGGGUAGAGGAAGACCUAGGAAAACUUUGGAAGACUCUAAGGAAAGACUUAGAGUACCUGGAUCUAACGGAGGACAUGACACAAAACCGAGCGCAAUGGCGUUCUAGGAUUCAUAGCCGACCCCACUUAGUGGGAAAAGGCUUUGUUGUUGUUGUUGUUGUUGUUGGAUGUCUCUGGUCUGAAUUAGUAUUGAUUCUUGAAUUGACAAGUACUCCUGGGAGGAAGUGCAUAUCAUGUGUUUUAUCAUUGUCUAUAGCUUUAUGUGUGACUGAGAUUGUAUAGGGAAGGAAAUGUAAGUUGGGUAAUUCCUGCAGGGUACAUAAGUAGUUUGGUGGUGAUAUGAAGGCUUUUGUGAGGGGUGCUGUAUGGCAACAGUUUUUUUGGGGUUUCUUGGUUUGAGAGAAACACGAGGAUUUUUUAAAAUGAUAUUUGGAUGAGGACUAGUUAUGGAAUAAAGUUAGGUUUUGUUCACCACAUUGGCUGAGUAUCUAUUUUCUAAAUUUCAUGAUCCAUAUCCUUUGAAAGAUACUGUUUUUGGGUAUUCUGAUUUAUGUUGAAGGUCCUGUAUGUAGGAAGAAACUGUAAAACUUUAGUACGACUGUAUUGUUCAUGUAGUCUAGUUUUCAUUGUUGUCCAUUUUAAGGUGGGGGACAACUUAACUGAAGAGAUUGCAUUUUGUUGAGGAGAUUGGGUUGGCAAUUAAAGCAUUCCUUCAUAUGCACCGUAAUGGUGAUGAAAUAAAGAUCCAAAUUUGUUUGAACGGGGAACUGGGGCAUGGGAAGAAUUUAUCAUGUGUAAAUUUAGACCACUUUUUUAGAAGAUAAUUUUAUAUUACCGUAGGCUCAGAAUAUUUUAAAAGGCAUUUGACGAAAAAAUGUAAGAAUUUUAUAUCUGGCUACUAGCAUAAGGAAAUGAUGUUUUAAACUUUCAGUUUUUGAAUGUUGAUUCUGCAUAUUUGCUUUAAUCUGUUUUCCAUUUGGUAUAAAGUUCUGUACCAAAUGUGACAGUCGCCUUAAUGAGAUCACAGAAAGGGCAUCUGCUGAUAGAUAUGAGGUAUGCCGUAGGAUACUUGAGACUAAGCACAUAUUUGCAUUAAUCUUUUGCUACUGUCUUGGCUUAAUGAAUGCCAUGUGAAUCUAGGCUGAGUCCCUGGCUAAGAAAUAUGAAGAGAAAUACAAACAAGCUAGAGAUGUAGCUUCCAAGUUGACUAUUGAAGAAGCCACGUUUCGUGAUUUACAGGCACCUUUCACCACAUAUAAAUAUGUGGACAAUUAGUGACCCAUGUUGUGUGUUUUCUUUUGCUCAUUCGAAGAUCAAAGUGUCAAGUGCUUGCUGUUCUUUUUAUCCGAGUCAUAAUUGCCUGAACAUGUGAGACCGCGUAUUAGAGUUUGAUUUCGGGUAGAUUCAAUGGAACAGUAAAAUGCACACACAGAGAGCAGAGCUUUCUUCAAAGGUUUCAGUGUAUUCGACUUGUUCACCAAACAAAGAGCUCAAAGAGCAUGUUUUAACGUUGGAGGAGUGAGAAACAAUUUCACCCUCUCACAACAUUACAAAUCCAUCACAACCAUUCAUUUCAAAGUCAUCAUAUAAGAUGCUUGCACAUGUCAUGAGCUAUGACUCAUUCUAAUCCAAUCUAAUCUAAAUACCAAUUGGAAUAUGAUCCAAAGGUUUACAUUAGAUCCUACACUUUGUUUAUAAUGAAACUACCACAGCAAAUACAUUUAUACUUCAAUACUCCCUUCUAAAUGUUUUGCUGAUUUCACACCAAGAGCAGUUCUCAAGUAUUCGAAUCGAUCCUUAGGAAGAGCCUUGGUAAAGAUGUCUGCCAAUUGCUCCUCUGUGCUGCAAUAAUGCAGUUCAAUUGUCCCGUCUUGAAUGGCAUCUCUUAUGAAAUGAUACCUCCGAUUAAUAUGCCUGGUUUUAUGAUGAAACACUGGAUUCUUAUUCUUAGACAUGGCUAUGGCAGAAGUGUUGUCACACAAACAAAGGUGUAGCCUCCACUUGUUCUUCUCCAAAAUCAGAUAAAACAAACCUCAACCACAUUGCUUGUGUUGUAGCUUCUGCAGCACUUACAUACUCGGCCUCUCUGCAGUAGAUAAAGCCACACUGCAUUGUUUAACAGAAGCCCAAGAAAACACUCCUGAACCUAAACUGAAUGCAUAGCCUGAGGUGCUCUUCAUGUCAUCCAAGCUUCCUGCCCAAUCACUAUCACAGUAGCCCUAUCAACACAGCAGCUUUUCCUUUCACAUAUUCGAUUCCAAAAUCCAAUGUACCUUGCACAUAUCUUAAGACUCUUUUAGCUGUCCCCAUGUGUUUUCUAGUAGGUUUGUGCAUGAACCUUGCUAGCAAACAUGAUGCAUACAUUAGAUCAGGUCUAGUAGCUGUCAAGUAUAACAAACUACCAACCACUGUCCUGUACAAACUUUCAUCAGCAUCCUCACUUCCAUCUUCCUUAGAUAACUUGUCAUCAACUGCAAGUGGUGUUUUUACUGCUUUGCAUUCUUUCAAUCCAAAUUUCUCAAGUAGUGACUUGGCAUAUUUCUUCUGAUGAAUAAAUAUACUCUUAUCUGUUUGAACUAUGCCUAGACCAAGGAAGUGAUGUAACAAUCCCAGAUCUGACAUCUCAUAUUGCUUCAUCAUAUCCUUCUUAAAUUCUUGAAUCAUUUCAUCAGAAUUCCCUGUGUAGAUAAUGUCAUCUACAUACAGAGAUACAAUAAGCACACCUGCAUCACUGAACUUUGUAUAUAGAGUAGCUUCACUUUGGCUUUUCUCAAAACCAGAUCGAUUGAAAUAAUUGUCUAUCUCAUCAUACCAAGCUCUAGGAGCUUGUUUCAGACCGUAUAAAGCCUUUUUCAACUUGUAGACCUUAUCUUCCUGUCCUUGAACUUCAAAUCCCUGUGGUUGAUCCACAUAUACUUCCUCAUGCAGUGUACCAUUUAGGAAUGCAGAUUUAACAUCCAAUUGAAACAACUUCCAUUCCUUUUGAGCUGCCAAAGCAAUGAGAGUUCUAAUGGUAUCAAGCCUUGCCACAGGUGCAAAGGUCUCGUUGAAGUCCACUCCGGGCUUUUGAGAAUAAACCCUUAGCCACUAGCCGUGCCUUGUUCUUCUGUACUGAACCAUCCAGAUUGAGUUUUGUUUUGUAAACCCAUUUUACACCAAUUACAGGUUUAUCAAAUGGUCUUUUGACCAACUCCCAUGUAUCAUUCUUUUUCGAUCAUCUCUCAAUCUCUGUGGACAUAGCUUUUCUCCAAGCCUCAUCCCCUGAUGCUUCUUCAAAACAUUCAGGUUCUAUCACACAGAAAUUGCACCUUUCAUAAAUUUCAUUCAAGCCUCUGAACCUUAAUGGAGUAUGAUCAUACAUUUGUGAGCUGGUAUGAUCUAUUUGCUCUUCUUGUCUUGAAGAAGAAGCAAUAACUUGCUUCAUGUUGUUCCUGUAGUGAUUCUGUGCAUUCAAAUAUUGCAUCAUCUUCAACAGCUUCAGUCUCAUUCUCUUUGCUUCCAUCAACAUCACUUGGAACUGAGAUGGACAUAGUCUUCUUAUUACCAGAUUUCCAAUCCCAACAAGAGUUCUCAUCAAAUAUUACAUCUCUAGAAAUAACAAUCUUGUUAGUUUUAGGAUUGAACAACCUGUAACCCUUUUCACACGUUCCAUAGCCAAGGAAUAUGCACAUUACACUUGUUGCAUCCAGUUUCUGCCUCAUUUGUGAUGGAACCUGUGCAUAACAUAAAGAUCCAAACACUUUUAAAUGUUUUACUCCAGGCUUUCUUCCACUGUAAGCUUCAAAUGGAGUCUUCUUAUUCAAGACCUUGGUAGGACAUCUAUUGAGAAUGUAGACUGCAGUAUUCACUGCUUCUGCCCAAAAUUCAAAUGGAAUCCCUUUCUCCAACAUCAUGCAUUUAGCCAUUUCUACAAUGGUCCUAUUUCUUCUCUCAGCAACACCAUUCUGUUGAGGAGAAUAGGCCACUGUAAGUUGUCUUUCUAGACCAAGAUUUUCACAAUAUUGAGAGAGAAUUCCAGAGAAGUAUACUCCCCUCCCCUGUCACUCCUUAAUUUCUUCACUUUGAAUCCACUUUGUAGUUCAACAGUUGCCUUGAACCUCUUAAAUAUGCCAAAUGCAUCAGAUUUGUUUCUCAGAAAAUAGACCCAUCCCAUUCUGGUACAAUCAUCUGUGAAAGUGAUGAAAUACUUGUUUCCAGCUUUGGUAAGUGUUUGCAUUGGUCCACAUAUAUCAGUAUGUAUUAACUCCAAUGGUAGUGCAGCUCUCCAGUUUGUUUCUUUAGGAAAAGCAUCUCUAGAAUGCUUUCCAAUAGCACAUCCCUCACAUACUGUGGAAUUCACUCUGAGCUCAGGUAAACCAGUCACCAUGUCAUGCUCUUGAAGUUGCAUGAGAGCCUUCAUAUUUAGAUGCCCGAGUCUUCUAUGCCAUAUCUCAGCAGCUUGUUUAACACCUGCCCUCAUAGCCAUUUGUAUUCCUGGUUGCAACUUCAAAGGAAAGCUUCGAUUUCCCUUCAUAGGAAUUUUAACAACCAGAUUAGAGCAUGUAAAAUCUUCAUAAAUUCUGACUUCAAUUCCCCCAAACACAAGGUAAUAUCCAUGCUCCAUCAUUUGUCCCACACUCAAUAGAUUCUCCUUUAAACCAGGUACUAACAUGAUCUCCUUGAUGUACCGUUUGCCUUGCUUAGUUGCAACCAUUAACUCUCCUUUUCCAACUACAUUAACCAACUCCCCUGUGCCCAUCUCAACUUUGGCAGUAACACUUCUAUCAAUGUUCUCCAGUAAAUCUUCUCUUCCUGUCAUGUGAUUACUGCAGCCACUAUCAACAUACCAAACAUCUUCUCCCUUCUUCACUGCAGCAGCCAUACACACAUAGAACAUAGUUGGAUUGUUCUCCACUUGUUUGACAUAAUUUGCCUAUUGAGUAACCUUCUUUGACCUGCAAUCCUUAACAAAAUGCCCUGGCUUAUCAUAGUUAUGGCACCUUGGUUUUCCCUUGAACCAACACUCUCCAAAAUGAAGUUUAUCACAGUACUUACAUGCAUUCUUGACAUUAUCAGAAGACCCAGUAAAUUUUCCUUGAUGGUGCACAGAUUUGUUAUCCCAUUUCUUACUCUUUGUCUGCCAGUUCUUUGUGGGUUUAAAACUCUGAUUGCCAUUGUAAUUGUUCUUCCUGGGAGCUAUACUUAAACUAGCAAAUGCCUUUUCAUUUCUAUCUUCAGAAUGUCUAUCAAUUCGUUGUUCAUACCCCUUUAGGGUAGCAACAACAUCCUGCACAUCAACACUCUCCAGAUCCCUAGUGUUUUCUAUCACAGCAACAAUACUAUCAUAAGACUUAGGCAAACUUAUCAAUAGCUUCUGCACAAUUCUUUGAUUUCCUAUAUCUUCACCAUAACUUUUCAUUUGUGACAUAAGAUCAAAUAAUCGCACAACAUACACAGAGAAUGCUUCAUUUUCACCCAUACGAGUGUAUUCAAAAUCUCGCCUUAAACUUUGGAGUUUCACAGAUCUCACCUGUUUAUCCCCAAUAAAUUCUUGCUUCAGUGCAUCCCAAGCCUCCUUUGCCGUCUCCAGUAUGGCGAUUCGUGGGAAAAUUUCAUCGGACACAGAACCUUGAAUAAUCCCGAGAGCCUUAGCAUCCUUGAUCAUGUUCUCCCUUUAGCUGCUUUAGUUCAGCGGCAUUGAGUUCUUCAUCUUCUUUCUUCACCGGAGGUUUAUACCCCGUUUCAACCAUAUCCCACACAGAUCGUGAAAUCUGAAAAUAGUCUUCAUCUUUAUCUGCCAGAAAUCAAAGUUUUCCCCAUUGAAAAUCGGUGCUCGAAGAUCAGCACCACUCGAUCCAGCCAUAUUAGACUUGUUAUCGAGUUACCCAGUGAUUUUUCAGAUUGAUCUUCAAUCGCAGCAAACUCGAUUCUCUGUCGAGUUCCUUAGCUGCAACCCUUGUCACAGAUUCACGCCCAGAUUGAGAUCCAACCUGGCUCUGAGGCCAUAUUAGAGUUUGAUUUCGGGUAGAUUCAAUGGAACAGUAAAAUGCACACACAGAGAGCAGAGCUUUCUUCAAAGGUUUCAGUGUAUUCGACUUGUUCACCAAACAAAGAGCUCAAAGAGCAUGUUUUAACGUUGGAGGAGUGAGAAACAAUUUCACCCUCUCACAACAUUACAAAUCCAUCACAACCAUUCAUUUCAAAGUCAUCAUAUAAGAUGCUUGCACAUGUCAUGAGCUAUGACUCAUUCUAAUCCAAUCUAAUCUAAAUACCAAUUGGAAUAUGAUCCAAAGGUUUACAUUAGAUCCUACACUUUGUUUAUAAUGAAACUACCACAGCAAAUACAUUUAUACUUCAAUACCGCGUGCUUUUAUUUUUUUAUGAGAUAAGUGCCAAUCAAAAUUAAAAAAUCAAGUAUGAGCAGGACAUUUUUACUUUUUGGAGAAACAAAAAGAAAUUUAUUUUAGAACUUUUAAGCCUGGUGGGAUAGAUAGCUGAUGAGAGAGAGAAAGUAGUGUGGGAAAAUAGAAUCAGUUGAAUGGUCAUACCCUUGUGGUGUAUUCUUUUUAUUAUCGUGGACUGAUUAUCUUACGUGAUUUAUAUGCAGGAGAAAAAAAUGGAGCUACACAGGGCAGUGAUGGAGCAAGAAGGUGAUGCUGAUGCGCACUUCAGGUACCUUUGCACAAUCUUGCUGUUUAAAAAAUACCUUUGCUCAACUUGUUUAAGACCAUUUCCAGCUGAUUCAAGAUCGUGUUGAUCACAUCCAAUUAGAUCUUGAUGGGCUUGUCAAAACUCUCAAUGAGCACUGCAAGAAGUAUGAACUACGCAGAAAGCCUACAACGUUAACUGAGCUGCCCUUUUGUACGUUGAUCUCUUUCCUUAGCUAAUUUCUUGGGAGUCUAAGAAUCUUAUAAAUAACGAUAAGAAUACUUCUAUUAGCUUAUUCUUUAUCAAAAUAUCUGAUGGAUUGUACAUAGAACACAAUGUUGUGGUAAAUGGAUCAUAUUGUCUGCUUUUUGUAGUUUCUUUGUCAUCUAGUUGUGGUUUGCUAACCUGUUUAGGAGUUUUAACUGUUCGAGGUGACUGAUUCAGAAGUUGAAUUGUCAGGAUUCACUUUUGUCAAGGAGCUCACUCUUGACGUGUCAAAUGUCUUGGCACCUCCAAAACAGAAAUAAUCAUCAGUUCAGAAAGAAAAAGCUCCCCCAGUUGAGAGUCCAACAACUGCUUCUUCACUAGCCUCAAAGUACGGAUGCCAAGGUUGUUGAAAAUGGAGCAGCAUAUGAUAAAAAUGAGGAUGAGUCAGCAAAAAGUGCUCCGAACAGUCCAUUUGCCAGCAGUACCGUUGGAAGCCCAUCUAGAGAAUUUUCAGAUUCUAACUAUGGAAAGACAACAGACGCAGAUCCCUCACCCCGUAAUAAGGAAUCUCAAAGGUAUGGUUCUAGAUCUGUAGUUUUCUACAUAUUUAAGGUCACCCUGAUACGUGCAAAAUUGUUGAUCAUGCGGGUGCUGGGUCUAUGUUUUCUGGCGACAAAGGUUCUGAUGAACCAGCAUGGGGGACAUUUGACACUAAUGAUGACGUUGACUCGUUGUGGGGUUUCAAUGCAGUUAGUACCACCAAGGUAAGCCAAUAUUGUACAUUCAAAAAUUUUAUUUAUUUAUUUUAGAGUGCAUUCAGUAUUUAUUUAUUAGAACUCAAUUCUUUGACCUUGUGUUUAUACUGACCGGACCUUGCUUCAUGAUUGCUGUUAAUACCACCUAGUUGUUUGUGGUGGUGACCACUUAUCCUUGUUUAAGAGUUGCCUCAAGUGUCCUAAUGCUUGCUGAGUUGUUUAGUUAUUAACGAUGGUUCUGGGAAUUUUAACAUUAUUUGAAUAGUUUCUAUCUUCACCAUUCUGAUGGUUUCAUGUAAAUCAGUUAUGGUUCACUGUAUGGCGAAACCGAGUUUCCGAGUUUCCUGUCUUUCAACCAAGUAUGGCGAAACCGAGUUUCCUGAUUUCAGUUUUGGUUCACCGGAUAUAAAAAGAAGGGGUUGCGGGAUUGUUCUUGGUGCAAUUAAUUGCACAUUGAAGGGGACUCUGAUUUAAGCCUUAGGUCUUGGUUAAUCUUAGUCAAGAUCAUUUUUGUGUUGACAACUUGACAUUGACAAGAGAUGGUGCCAUUAAUGUAUUAAUGUAUUAAUCAUUGUUAAAGAAUGGUGACUGGAAAAAGGAAAGUUAAAUUUCAAGUUAAAAAACUAGCAUUCAUUGUCAUGUUAGAAACAGUUACUGUUAACAGUUUGUAGCCGAUGGAAAGUUUCCAUUAUUUUGCACCUUCCAAGUAGGCAUGGAUUCUAGGUUCCAGUGAAUCCACUUUCUUUUAUAAUAGCAUGUCGGUUACGUAGCACUUUCAAGCUUUUAGUUUUUGCGGUUUUAUAUUUUUUAUUAUUGCUGGCAUGCAGGAUUUUGCUGUUAAUUGCUCUUAAUCAUGUGGGAUGUAGGAUAUGGAUCAGGAGAGUAAUAAGGAUCACUACUUUUCUGGCCCUGGGGAGUUCGGCCUCAACCCUAUCAGGACUGGGUCAUCACAAGGAGGUGGCUUUUCCCAGAAGAGCUACCCUUUUACUUUCGACGUUUCUGUUCCUAGCACACCACUCUCAUCCUUCAAUUUGGGGUAUUCACCGCCAAGGUACAAGGAUAGCUCAGAACCUUCAUUUGACACCUUCUCUAGGUUUGAUUAGUUCACAAGCACACAAGAUACUGGAUUUUUCCCUCAACCAGAAACACUCGGAAGAUUUGAUUCUAUGCGCAGCAGUCGAGAUUUUGAUCAGGGUAAUGGUUUUCCAACAUUUGAUGACAUCCCAGACCCUUUUGGCUCUUCGGCGCCAUUUAGGUCAUUGCUGGACAGUCAAACUCCAAGAAGAGACUCAGACCCCUUCGGAUCUUCAGGUCCAUUUCGGACGUCACUGGACAGUCGAACUCCAAGAAGAGAAUCAGAUUUUUUCAGGUCUUCAGCAGCGCCAUGUAGGACAUCAUUGACAGUCAAACUUCAAGAGGAGACUCGGACGCAUUUGGAUCCUCUCCAUUUAGGACAUCAUUCAACGGUCAAACUCCAAGAAGAGACUCGGACCCAUUUGGGUCUUCAGGGCCUUUCCGGACGUCAUUGGAGACUCCGAGAAAAGACUGAUCAUUGGAGUGCAUUUUAGCCAGGUAGUUGCUCUUCUUCGUUUUUCUGUCUGCUAUUCUCGUUGUUCCAAGCCUUUCUAUCGUGAGUGUUAUGGGCCGUGGCCAUGUUUUAUGCUUUGAAAUCACUGUGCUUGUAAUGUGUCUUUUGUAUUUCAUUUCUUUGUGUAUGCAUCUCGCUUUGUCUUCAUCCUUUUUUUUUCCUUUAGCUUAUAAUUUUUCUCCGUAAUUUCGGAAUGUUCCUAGUCCUAUUGAAGCGAAGACCCCUAUAGUUUUAUCGCUGUUACAAAUUUGAUGAUUGUAUUAUCAAACUGGGGCUGUGCCUUUCUUUUUUCGACCUUAAUUUGCUGUAAUAUUUUACCCCCAUAAUAAAAUUUGUUCUGCUGAUCUUUCUUUUGUUCAAACAAGAACACUGUUUUGCCGGUGUUAGUCCAAUUGGGCCAUUCAUGAUGCCGCUGGAUUUGAUCAAAGAUAACAAACAUAAUAUUACACACUUGUCUAUAUAAGAGCCUUGCCUGUUUGUCAGUCUUAUUUCUUGGACGGACAAGUGAGUGCUGUCCUUGAACUUGCCUGUGUCUUCAGCGCUGUGCAGCCUUGAGCUCAAACAUGACAUAGCACUGGGAGCUCUGGCAAAGAUUGAAGUUGCUUGCAGCCGACUAAGUUGAGUUCAGACAACCGAGAAGCUCAUUUGAUGCUUGCAGGUAUGCUCCUGAUCUUGGUUCCAGACAGAUGUAUGCUUGUCAAUGAGGUUGAGCAAACGAGACCAUCAGGGAUUUCCAACAUACCGCUGCUGCUGAGAUCUAGUUCUUCUAAAGAGAGAAAACCGGCAUAGGUGAAAGGCAAAUUUUCAAGUUCCCGACAUCCAUACAAGUCGAGACGUUUAAGAUUGGUUAAACGGUAGAUACUUGUUGGGACUACCUUAAGGUGCUUGCAGUCACUAAGGUCUAAAGUUUGAAGCCCAAUUAGAUUUCCAAAUGACGAAGGAAGCUUUUGUACAGCUGUCCUUUGCAAAUUAAGAGACACCAAAUGUUCUAUUGGCUCCAAGAUCUCUGGGAAAUGUUCAAGUUCAGAGCACCCAAAGAGAUUGAGUUCCUUGAGAUAUUUCAACUUCCAAAUGUAGAUUGGUAGACUCACAAGACUGCUGCAACGAACCAAUGAUAAUUUAGUUGUAUCCCUCGGAAGCUCAGAAAACUCGCAAAGAGAUAUGCAACCAUAUCGAUCAAAACAACCAGAGACUUUCAACUUACAACUGUUGCUUGGAAGUUUCUCAAGGUAAAGAGCAAAAACGUAUAUUCAAGUAAGAAAUGUUUUUGUUAGACCACACUGAUUCAGGCAAUUCUUUUAUACCAGCGUAAUGUAAAUCCAAGUAUUUAAUAUUUCCUAGCAUCUCUGGAAGAUACUUGAGGUUGGUGCAGCCUUUAAGAUCAAGAUGAGUAAGCUUGUCAAGAUGUUGAAAACACUCAGGAAUUUCAACCAAAAUUUCACAGCCACAGAGAUUUAUUUUCACAAUUUUUAGACUUCGAGAGAGAUUUGGAACUUCAGUUAGAUAUCUGGAGUAAUGCAGAUCGAUCACUUGUAAGUUCACAAGUCUUUGUAUCAAGAGUAAAUAGGAGUUAAUAUAACUUCUACACUUGAUUUUAUACAAGAAUUAAAAUAGGCAUAUAAUAUAAUAUACCUUGUCUUUUUUCCAAAGCUUCUGAACUAGGCUAAAUGGCAUAUGAAGCUCAACUAGAUUUUUCGGAGAAAAUUUUGACGGUAAAGAUUCCAGUGGAUAUUCAUCCCAGUAAAGAUAACGAAGAGCAUCGGGAAGGUCUAGAGAAGCGUGGAAUUUGGAGCCACCAUUCACAAUUAGCAAUCUUAGGUUAGACAUCACCUUGAAGUCUACACGUUUCAAUGGUCGCUCUACAAUGUUAUGCCAAUUAAGGAAUAUGGCUUCAAUAUUUCCUGACAAUAAGAAGAAAGUUUAAAUGUGAAUAUAUGUACAUGUUUUCAACAUGUUAAAAUGUAAUGCGCACUUGGAAAAAGAAUUCUACAACGUUACAUAAUAAUUUAGUAUUUGCGAUGGUAAUGAUGUACAAGUUUCUAGUAAAAUAUCCAACAUAAUUGUAUCCUCCUCUACUUGUCUUAAAAAACAAACAUUUGUUCCUAUUCCAAAGACUUCCGAACACAAUAAAAAUUCAAUCAAAUUAAUUUUUUUUUUUUAAGAAUCUGACUUUUUUUAUUAUAAAUGCAAAAAUGCUACUCUUACCAUCUAAUUAUACCGUCAAUUGUACAAUCUCUAUUAAUCUCUAAUAAAGAUGAGACUCAUAUGUGUUUUCUCUACAAAAAGAAAAGAAAAAAAAUUGAGUGCAUUUGACUCUUACUGUGUUACUUUUCAAUACAUGAUAAACAUCCUUAUCGUUGAACAACCUACUCCACUUACUGGGAUCUUCAAUACAUUGUUCCUGAACAAUUGUCCUUCCCAUUUCUUCAAGUAGAUCAUGCAUCUCGAUGGUUUCCCGUCCCCAUCUUGAAUCAAUUGAUAUGAGAGACAUGUCAAUGAGAAUUCUAAUUCCAACCGUCACAAAGAAUCCACGAACAUCUAACAAUUGCUUUACCUCCUCCACAUCAUACCCUUCAUGAAAACAUGCUAUAUCCAAAAAUAUCUCCUUCUCAUUUCUUCCCAAUCCAUCAUAACUUAGUCUCAACACUCUCUGGAUAUUUUCAUUGGGAAAUUGUUUCAAUUUGUCCAAUUCAUCUUCCAAGUCUUCUUUGCUCUUGCAAUUUAGGAAUGAGGACCCCAGAAGUAUAAGAGCUAAAGGAAUGCCUCCGGCAUAAUGCAUCGCCUUUUCUGCCAACCCCUUAUAAUCUGUUAUAUGAGUAUUCUUGAAAGCACGCGAACAAAAGAGCUGAAGAGCGUCAUCCGGUUUUAAUCUCCCAACCUCAUAGAUUUUAUCCUCUUCAACAGUUUGCCUAAGUGUGCCCCUAUUUCUACUUGUGAUGAUGAUUCUACUUCCAUUGCCAAACGGAAGACGAUUGCCAGAUAAACCUUCAAUUUGCAUUGAAUCACUGACAUCAUCAAGAACAAUGAGGACCUUUGUACGGCUAAGCCUAUCUCGAACAAAAAUUGAUCCUAUGGAUAGAUCUUCUUCCUUUGAUAUCUGACUGAGAAGUGUAUUUUGUAAGUGUUCUAGCCCAUCUUUUUGUUCUUUCUCCCUAACAUUUCUUAGAAAACAACAAGCUUCGAAUUUAGAAGAGAGUUUGUUAAAUACGGCUUCAGCAAGGGUGGUCUUGCCAAUACCACCCAUUCCCCAAAUACCAACACUGAUGCAAGCAUCCUGUGAAUGAAUGCCUAAUAGCGAUUCAAUUUGCUCGAUGUGACUUUCAAUUCCAACCAGGCCCUCUAAAACACAUGAUGAUUCACAAAUCAAUUUGGUCCAAAUAUGAUCUACAACAUUCCUAAUUAGAUCUGCCUCCGUCCUGGCAUAUAUAUGUAUGAUUAUGUAGAAAAAGCAAUAGUUAGUCCUAAAUAUGCUUUACCAAAUCUUAGCACAAAUCAAACUGUGACAAGUUUAAAGAAAAUUUAUAACUUUAGACAAGUUAAAGAAUGAGUUAGUUACCCGAAUUUGUUUGAAUAAUCAAACCCAGAUAGAUUGGCUGCAGUCUUCAAAGCACCCCUCCACUUGUGCACCUUGUCAAUACUGUUAUCGAAACGUUUUUCAAGUUGUCCAAAUGCAUCCGCAUAACUCUCGUAUUGAUUCCGUACAUCAGAUGGAUUGACGUCGUAUAAUACCGGUACGACCAUGUGGCCAUAUAUUUCCUUGCAUUUGAGUAUAUGCACAAGCUCAUCCAAACACCAUGUGGAUGAAGCAUAGUUUUGUGAGAAAAUGAUCACCGAAAUCGUGGAUUUCUCGAUUGCUUCUAGAAGGGCAGGUCCGAUUUCUUCGCCUCUCUGAAGUCUAUUAUCGAUGUAGGUUUCAAUUUUCUUCUGAAGUAAGGCAGCAUGAAGAUGGCUGGUAAUACCAAGGCGGGUGUCCUCACCUCUGAAGCUGAUAAACACAUCAUACUUUUCUAGUCGUGGGGGGAUAUCAGCAUCCUCAUCAACAACAGUAGUAGAACCAGCUACAACAGAAUCAACCGCAAAAGAAAAUGUUAAUAAUCUGCAGCUGAGACUACAAUUGCACCUGAGACUAAAUCAGAGUUUAUUAUAGAAAAAUUGAAAUUGAGAUUGUAGUCCUUAGUUAUAAAUGCUCCAGGUAGAGACAAGGAUUAGUCACUUCUACAUAGUUAAAAAAAAAUAUUUGAUAAUGGUGGUUAAAAAUUAUUGGCUUUUAUUCAAAAUGGUCCAUGAGAUUUGCAUCAUCCAUAAGUUUGGUUUCUAAGAUUUAAAAUCAAUAGAAGUAGCCCUGAGAUUGUCUACCAUCCAUGAUUUUGGUCAUUCUGCUGAAGCUUUUGGCCGGAAGUUUGGGCAAUUUUCAAAUCUUCGUAACUCAAUCGUUUCUUAACCAAAUUCGACCCAUAAUAUAUCAAAAUGAAGAUAGGAAAGUGUAGAAUAAGAUUAUAUCUAUUUGGAAGAGCAAUAAUUGCCGGAGAUGGUCAGAAAAUAGCCUAAAAGUUGACUGGUCUGAGGGAAAACUAGAAAACUUGCCGGAAACUCGCCGAAAACUGGGUAAAUUUUAAACGUUCAUAACUUCUUCAAUACUCAUCAAAAUCAUGUGAUUCAAAAACAAAAAUCAUACUUCUCAACGAGAAUAAGAGAAUGGUACCUUUUUCAAAGGCUAACUCGCCGUGGUUUGGCCGGAAAAUGGCUCGAAAGUGGCUGUUGAAAAACGAGUCAGCAACUUUCGAGCCAUUUUCGGCCAAACCACGGCAAUUUAGCCAUUGAAAAAUGUACCAUUCUCUUCUUCUCAUCAAGAAGUAUGAUUUUUGUUUUUGAAUUACUUAAUUUCGUUGAGUAUUGAAGAAGUUGUGAAUGUUUAAAGUUUACCCAGUUUCCGGCAAGUUUUUCAGUUUUCUCUCUGACCAGUCAAUUUUGAGGCUAUAUUCCGACCAUCUUCGGCAACUGUUGGGCUUACAAAUGAUAUAAUCUUAUUCUAUACUUUCCUAUCUUCAUUUUGAUAUAUUACGGGUCAAAUUUGGUUAAGAAACGAUUGAGUUACGAAGCUUUGAAAAUUGCCCAAACUUCCGGCCAAAAGCUUCAGUGGAAGGACCAAAAUCAUGGAUGGUGGACAAUCUCAGGGACCACUUCUAUUGAUUUUAAAUCUCAGGGACCAAACUUAUGGAUAAUGCAAAUCUUGUGGACCAUUUUGAAUAAAAAGCCAAAAAUAUUUGAUAAUCGUAGCGGCAAGCACACAGUAGCCAAUAGGCCCUCCUUCCCGGCUUUGCACGCUUUAUUUACAAAUUUAACUUUGUUCCUCCAUCCACUGAUUUCAUCUUUGACCAGCAGAGCAUCCAAAGCAAUUUAAUCUUAACAAGGACUAACCAACACCCGACACAUCAAUGUAGCAUCUAGGUGACGCAUUUACUGGUGCAUUAUUAGUUUGUGAUGUCAGAGUGAAAAUUUCGGGUGCAAUUGAAUAUAAAACCAUCUAAAGCGUUUGAAUUUUUAAGCCAACAAGACCGAAACCUUGAAAUAGGGAAAGCCCACCUCCAAACCGGUUUUGGUCGAGUCUGAUUUUGAAAAGCAAGGUCCUUCCCAUUCAAUACUUUAUUUCAGGAGUAGAGUGAGGGGGGGUGGGGUGGGGGAGGGGAGGCUGGCAAUGUGAGGAGAGGGGAAUUAGAUAUCAGACCUCUGUCUUGUAAUUCUUGUUUAUGUAAUUGAUGGUUAAUGAUAGAUGUUGUUAGAUUAGUCACCGACAGAGUUUGAACUCACGUUAUCAUGUAAAGAAUUAACACAUUUCCACAACUGUGGUAAAAGACCACUUUCUAUUGAGUAUUCUAAGUGCUCACUUUUUAAUUUUGUCCAAUGAAAAAAUGUGAUGUGUUCCUUUUUUUUCAAAGUUCAAGAAAAAUUUAAUAACAUGUCUAUUAUUUUUUAAAACAAUAAAAUAUGUGCUAAAAAUUUAAAUAUCAUUAGACAAAAUCAAAAAGGUGAGUGAGUUUAGUGAGUGCCCAGAUAUUAUUCUUACACAAAUAUUGUCCUAAUUAAUUGUAUUUUGUUUACACAGUUUCCUAAAUAUGUUACAAAUUGCAUAUACAAUGACUACAUGUUCAUUAAAAUCCCUAGAGGAUCAUCGUUGUGAUUACAACUUGUUCAAGAAAAGUUCAUGGAAGGUAGAAAAUGGAGCACAUGAAAGUAGAAAGAUAUUCAUAUGUUUGCAAUCUCAACAUGUAAAACUACUGGUAUUUGAAAACCAUAAAAUGAUAUAAGUACAAACUUUUUCUCCUUGCUUUGCUCCCCUCACAAUCAGUAUCAUCUUGGUCACCUGAUCGAUUCCUGCAAGUGAAGUUUUGGUUAUCUUUCGUACAGUCAAUAAACAUAAAUCAGAUUAUGCAUACCAAAAAUCAGUACACAAAAAGGAGGAGCCCUAUGUGAAAAAGGAUGCAAAAAAUCAACUGGAGACCUCUUUCUUCUGUUCUUUUUCCAUUUGCCCUCUCUCUCUCUCUCUUUCAAUCUUUUGUGUUGAAGCUUUUCGGAAAAUCUGUUAAGAGAGCCGUUUAAUCGAAACUUCAAAAGGAAGACAAUGGAUCAAGAUGCAAACAAAACAAAGUGAUAUCAGGUGGCAGGUCACCAGCGAAGAAAUUAACAGCAGACAUAACAAAAAUUAAUUAGCAAAUUAAAUGUCAGCAUAACAUAACACCUAAACUUAUGCGGUAAGAUAUGACAAAAAAUACAGAAAGAGCCUACAACGGUAUCAAUAAACACUGACUAACCUCUGACAAGUUACCAAUUUGACAAGGGCUUGUUUGUUUUCUCCAGCUUCAAACUAAGAAAGGUUCACCUUCAAAGUAAUAUCCAAAACAAUUAAGAUGCAAAAACUUUUUAAGUGAUGUAAAUAUAGAUAAACAGAAAAUGAAAAUACAUAUUCCACAAAAAAUAAAAUAAAAUAAGAUGAAAAAACUUUAUAAGUGAUGUAAGCUUGUUCUUGAAUGAAGGAGCUUAAACUUGAAUUUGCUUAAUUACCCUCCCAAACAUAUAUAUAUGUAAGCUUAAUUCACUAGACCAGUGUUAUUAAGAUUGAAAAAAACUAGGAUAAGGUUUAAUUAAUGCAUAAGGCAAUACUAACCACAAAUCAGUAAUCCAUAAACUCAUAAAGGUUAGCACAAAAAAUAUAUAGCUGAAUUGAAGAUUAAGUGAAAAAUAUAUAAUUAAAGAAAAUACUGAAAACUUGGAACGUUUGUAGGACUUCGAACAUUUACCAAGAAUUUGAAAAGACGUGGAAGACUUUUUUUUUUCCAAGUGUUGAAAACAAGGAGCUUGCUGCACCAAUUAAUAACCAUGCAUGUAGAAAACCAUAAUUAAGAUAAUAAUUAUGCAGAAGAAGAAGAUAUGGAGGAAAGCGUGCUUUCUCUCUCUCUCUCUCUCUCUCUCUCUCUCUCUCUCUCUCUCCCUGUCCCUGUCCCUCUAUAUCAGUUUCUCUCUUUUAAGUUUGGAGCUUGAGAGUUUUGGAUAACAAGGAGAGGAAGAAGAACUAUGGAAGAUAAUGGGGAAAUGGAGGAGGAAAAAAGGUGGAGAAGGAAAUAUAAAAGAUAAUAGAGCGAGAUGGGUGUGCUAAGGAAGGAAGGGCGGAGAUUAAACAGUCGGAAGAAUGUAUUUGGCAUCUUAUGCCAGUUUUCCGGCUUAUACCGAGGCUUAAAUGCAAAAGAAAAAUAAAACCUUUUCUGUUGUAAAGAUGGCUGGCCAAGUUGUCCACUAAAGCAUGUCCUCACAUUAAAGCAUGAUUCCUUUGAGUGGAAUGUUAGGUGUGGAAAUUAGGCUCCACUAAGAACAAUUUCCUUCCACUAAAUGUUGCCGAUGCUUUGCUUUCAUUGCUCCUAGUUUUCAUAUAAAUAUAUAGACAUACAGCUGAGAAGAAAAAAAAGGAAGAAGAGAGGAAGAAGUGAGAAGCCACAAGGCUCACGGCAGAGAGAGAGAGGGAAGAGAGAGGAGAGUUAUCCUUGUAAUCUUAUUACUUCAGAUUAUAAAUAAAAGCAUCACUGCUGUCUCGAUGAUGUACUCCAGUCACACUAACUGUAGAGGAACCUCGUAAAUUUUGUGUUUUGUUUAUUCCACUGCACAUACCGUCGAUUUUACAACAUUUUCCCCAUUUAAGAAAGAAGUUUGGAACACGGGAGUGAGGGAUGGGGCCUACGUUAACGCGACACGGUUUUGAAUUUUUUUAGUUAGUUAGUUAGUGAUAAUUUCUUUCGAGAAAUUUUCAAACACUUUCAAUUGAGUAUAUUCUAUAAAAUUCUAAGAAAAACUAGUGAAUUUAACUCUACAAAAUCAUGGAGGGCUAGGAAUACAGUCAUUCACUACUAGAAGUUGCCUACGAUUUGGAAUCAGUUUUUUCAAGGCUAUUAGGAGAUCAUAAAAGAGUGCAAAACUUAGCCUGAAAGUAAUCGAGAAAAAUAAAUGGUGAAUUGCCCUUAUAGUUAGGUUAAGGGCACCAUCUCUCUGUCUAUCAAUCUAGGCACUAAACUAAGCAAGAGACAGAUAGAGGUAGAAGUUGGGAAGCAAGGGAGGAGGGAGGUAAAAUUGGGAAGUGAGGGAGGAGAGAGUAGUUGCCUAGAUCAGGAUUUUUUAUUUAUUUUUUUGUGGAGACAGAUUUGGCAAAAUUAGUUCUUUGUCAACAGUCGUGUGCAAGACACCAACCCUCUUUUAAAAGAAAAAAAAGGACCAUUGCAUCUAAAAACCCCUCAUCCGUCCCUUUCUGUAAAAUUUUAUUAAUAAUAUGAAGAAAAAAAGAGAUAUGAAAUUACCUAGCUCAAGCACCUUACCUUCCCGAAUAAAAAUUCAAUGUGUUCUCAUAUAUCAAGAAAGACAAAAUAAGGGAACAUCAACAUCAAUUCAUAACUUUUAUUAAUCACAACUCACAAGUCAUCAUUUACGCAUUUUACGCACAAAUUUCUUUGAACUUCUUUUUUCCACUAGUUUAAGUUUUGAUCAGCAGACCAUCUAAUUAAAUUUAGUCUUGACAAAGACAACUAAUCCACACCCUGUGGGUUGUAGUAGCACCUUGGUUACGUGCUUAUUCAUUCAUUUUAGUUUAAGAUGUCACAGUAGCAUACCAAAUAUACACAGCUCUUCAAUUAAAGAUAAAAGCAAACAAACAUUUUAAAAUGAACUAGCGAACCUUGAGAUAGAAAAUGCCCACCUCCCAAAUUGGCUUCGGUGACUAGAGUCUAGAGUUUAGUCUCAUUACGAGAAAAACAAGUGAUGGAUUGUUCUUAUGGUUAGUAUAUAGAUUAGUGUAAAAUAUCUUUUGUACGCAGUGUUUUAAAAAACUUGUCCCAAGGCGCGCCUAGGCGGCUUUGGAGCCGAGGCUGAAGAAAAUUCACCUUUGUUUUGUGAGUAGGCAAAAAAUCACUUAUGGGAGUAGGCCUUAUGCGCUUUAAGUACAAACAAGCAAUUGAGCUCGCGCCACACUAUGAGUUUUAAAACUUUGUUAAAUGUGUGGGAUAUGUUAAAAUUUAUUUAUUGUUGGAAAUGUGCCCUAAAACCAAUCAUAUGAUGAUACUUUACGGACAUUUCACAUAUUAAACUAAUAUAGUUUAAUAUAAAGGGCAAAGAUUAUUGUUUGAAGCCGUCUCAUAUAAAUGUUAUACGCUUAAACGAUAAGUCCAAGGAAUAUGUAAUUGGGAGAAUGCAAUCUAAAGAAGUUAGAUUCAUGAGAUUAUUUUCUUUCGUAUACAUAUCCUAAAUGUUCCUGAUCAUAGGAUUGCCAAUUGGGCAUUGACAGUCCGUUAAGAUCAGUACGUGCUAUGUCUUCUCUUAGGAAGAGUGACUGGUCUCGAGUCAUUGGUGUGACUGAUACCAAGACAAGUACGUAGGUGCUCAAUAGAGAAUGAGUUCACUGAACGCGAUCAACAAGAAGUUCUCAUACUCAUGUCACAUGAGAACUUAUGGUUGGGAUAAUGCAAAGUAGUCAUUUGACCUGAGGCAUCAUAGUUGUCUUGUGGUUAGGUCCUUGAUCUUUGAUUAUGUCAAAGUCACUCCAUCCGAGGGUGUCCACGACAUAGUUGGGGUUAAGCCACUUAGCCAUAGAGGCAAGUGAAUGCGCAACAAGGGAUCUCUAACCUUCAAACCGUUUGAGGGAGAAUACUCUAUGAUAUGAUUAAGAAUCUCUGGCCAGAGUAUGAAUGAGAUUUAGGAAGUCGUUCCAAAUCACAUUCAAGGUAAUCAUAUAAGUAAAUGAAUCACAUUGGAUAGUAGACAUGAAUAAACUAUCAAACCAAACAAUGUGGUCAAGAGUAUUAUAUUAGAGAAAUACCGUAUUGCAUUGUAAUCCUAAACUGAAUAGGUUCUCCACCUCCUCUGAUUAGCUUGGGUAACCAUGACAUACUGCUAGGUGUCACUCAUGGUUUGUGGAAGACCUAAAAGUGUAUAAUCACUAAAGGGAUAAUUGAAAGUAAGUUUCAAUUCGCAAUCGAUUUGAAAGAGUUUUAAUCGCUCACUGCCUCGCUAAAAGGAACCUAAUGAAUCGCACACUGUGUAAGGUAAUGCUUGAAGGAUUUGACGGAGAUGAGUAAGGACAAUUAAAUGGUUUAAUUGUUUAUGGCAAGAAUUAAUUAAUAUGUUAAUUAAUCAAACGAAUAAGUUCGUUUUAAACCUUGAGUUAGUUUUGGGCCUUAAAGCCCAAAUUGGGCUUCAAAUCGUCAAGCCCAUUAGCUUAAGUUGUAUGACAACUUAACAAAUAAAAUUUAAGAAGCCCAAAACAGCCCAAAGGCUUGGAAAAAUGGGCCAUAGAGAGAGGAAGGGCCUUUUGGUCCAAAAUGCAUACAAAAGUUGAAAGCAUAGAAAAGGUAUCUUUGCUCCAUCCUCAUUAGGGUUUUCUAAGGAUGAAAAGUGAGAAAAACUCUCUCUCUUUUCUCUCUAGAAUAGCCGGCCACCAUGGGAGAGUUUACUAGCAUCUAACUCUUCCAUGGCUACUCAUCUUCUUCCUCAACCAUCCUUGGUGUCGGAACUUAGAGGUCUCCAACUUUGGGGACUUUUGGAGAAACCAAUUCUUCCAUCCAUAUCCAAGAAGGCAUGGAGCCAAGAAGCAAAGUUCCUCCAUCCACAUCCAUGGAGCCAAGGAGUAAGGUGACAAAGGAAAGAAGGCCCUCACAUGGGUGAUUAACCUUUGCUAAGCAAAGAGGUGCUUCAAAGGUAUAAAGUUUUUCAACUCACUUUGUUUUGAGUUGAGUCUUGGUUCACCCUUCUACUAGGCUUUGAAUUUCAUGGGUAAUGUUUUGUUUUUGAGUGCAUACAAGCAUGAUUCCGCCUUUAAAUGAUAAUUGCAUGCCAUAGAUGUUGCUCAAAUGAACAUGUUUUUCACAAAUUUUCCUUCAUUUACCCUCUAUUUCAACAUCUAUUUAUAUUCUUAUGAUCAAUAAUGAACAAAUGAUACGUGUUUUGGAACCAUUCAUAUAGUUAUAAUACACAUAAAAGCAUCUUGUUUUCUAUGUCCUAACUUUUCACAUUAUUGUUUAGUACUUCACUCUUCUUUCUUCUUUACUGCCAAAAAGAUGAUUUUCUUAUACCUACAUAAGAUUUUUAGAAAUGGAUCAAAAAUAACAUGCAAUAUAGUACUUCUGCUUUUCGCUUUAUUAUUGAUUUUUAGAAAUGAAUCAAAACUAACAUGCAUAGGAUUUUUUUUAUUCUCGUCAAAGACAAAUUUGAACCAUAUUAUUAUUAGCUCAUUGUGAGACUUAGUCCACCCCUUAUCUUAGUGUAGAUAAUAUUGUUUGUUAAAAAAAAUGAAGAGUGGGAUGAGAUUUACUGAAUGUGGGAAGGUGUUAAGAAAGAGAGACAAUAAAUACGGUAAUGUUAAGAGAGAGAGAGAGAGAGGGCUUCUCAUUCAUGACAUGGAGAAAUUUUUAAUUGUUACCUGAACACGGGUAGUACAUUACGUAUUAUUAUAAAAUAGACGGAAAAUUUUAUUUUUUAAGUUGUUAAAUUUUAGCAUAAAUAUCUCACUAUUUAUAUAAUGACACAUAGUAUAUCAUUCCGUGUUCCAAUUACCUUGAAAAAAUAAGUGACCAAAUAUUACUCCCAAGCGCUUCUCAUUCACGACUUGAGAGGGUUGGUUGGGCAGUAGGAAAAUAAAAGGGAGUAGAAUUUUCUUCCCUCCUAUUAUCAUCCCCUUCCAAGAAUUUUCUUCCCUCCUAUUACCAUCCCCUUCCACCCCUUUCUCUCACAUUUUUCUUUUUAUCUUAUUCUCUAUAUAAAACUUUAAAACAAGAUGUAAACGUGACGUAAUCGUAACCGUUUAAAUAUGAGGAGAUAAAAAGAGAGAGAAUAAAAUGGGAGAGAAUACUUCUUUUGUGAUUUUUUUCGCAAGUAAGGUAUUUUUUUUUUUUUUUUUGAAAACAGUAAGGUACUUUUCUUGACAUGAGGGAACAUUAGCAUCGUCAUCAUCAACAACAGCAGCAGAAUCAACUACAGCAGAAUCAGUUGCAGAAGACGAAGAAGAAAAUGAUAUGCAGCCCAUGUACAACAGAGUCCCGAUGACAUUAACCAUGAAACAAAUCAACUCCAUCCCUCUAUCUCUUAGAUUAGAUAGCAGAAAGAGAAUCUUAAGUCUUAACUACAGUUGCACCUGAAACUAGAUCAAAGUUCACCAUAAAAAAAAAAAAUUGAAAUUGUAGUCCUUAUUGGGUUUGUGCACAAAGUUACAAACGCUCCCAGGAGGACAAAAAUUAAAAAUUUGGAGAGACAAGGCUUAUUCACUUUCACAUACAUAAAAAAUACUACUACUUUAAAAUUUUCUUUUAAAUAUAUGCUUUAAUUAAAAUAAAUAUUUGUCCAAAGCAUUUUCUAUAAGGCAUAUUUCAAUAAAAUAAACACACAAACGACGACUGAGAAAAAUCAUCAGAGAAUAGACCCAAAAAAAAAACAUAAAAAAUGUAAAGGAUGAAAGGAGGAGGAUCUUUCCCCUCCUAUUCCCAUCCCCUUUCCUUCUUUCUUCUCACAUAUUGUUUUUUGUCAUAUUAUUUUUUGGGGUAAAUUACAUAGUAACCCCUCAGAUUUGAGAUCUAUUACAAUCCUAUACAAUAUUUUUAAAACAUUUCACUUUCAUACCUCAUGUACUAUUUUAUUUCAAAAUAAUACACCCGUUACAUUUUCCAUCCAUUGAUCCGUUAAGUACUGACGUGGUUGCCAAAUGUAUGCCACGUGACAAAAAAAAUAAUUUUUUAAUUUUUUUAAAAAAAAAACCUUAAUCUUCUAAAUUAAAAAAACCAAAAAAAAUAAAAAUAAAAACAAAAGUUGAACCCCGCAACCCCCCACCCAACCUGCAACCCAGAAGAAGAAGAGGAGAGAGAAAAAAAACAUCCUCCACCUCUUCCUCCGCACCCACUACCUGCAAACCAGAAAAAAAAAAGAAAAAAAAAACCCAUCUCCCUUUCCCUGCAACUCAGAUCCUGUCUUCCCCAAUGAGUGUGGAUUUAAGACGGAGGGUGGGUGUGCUGGGUUUUUUUUUUCCUCCUUCUUUCUGGGUUGUAGGUGGGGAGCGGAAGAUAGGAAGAUGGGUGCAGAGGAAGAGGUGGAGGAUGGGUGUGCACCAUGGAUGGAAGAUGAUUUGGAGGGGGGCGUUGUUGAGAUCUGAACUUCGCCACUGGGGGGGGAGGUGGGAGAGGGGGGGUUUUAUGGGAUAUGGGUUCGCCCGAGGGGGUGUGGAUGGGCUUCAUGCAGGGGAGUGCGGGGGGGGGGGGGGGAAGGGAUCUGGGUUGGGCUCCUCUUCAUUGCCACGCUCUCUGUUAUCCUCACCACAAAUCCUUCAACUUUGCACCACAACUCUGUAUGUAUUGCCCCCUCUUCCCUAAAUCCAUUUUCUCCCAAUUAUUUAUUUAAUUAAUCGAUGUUUAGAUUGAAAUUUCGAGGCUUUAGCAAAACCCAGAUGUUAAUUUCACUGAUUAAUCACAACCCACAUUUUAAUUUUCACAUCUGAACAAAUCCCAGAUUGGAAACAAAAAGAAAACCCAUGUGAAAAUCUUGGAGUAAAACAAAACCCAGAUGUUAAUUUUUCAAUUAGAUAGGAUUGAGGUUUUAAUCUUGAUGUUUAAUUGAUUGCGGGCACUUCCAACAACUGGGAUAUGGGUUUCGCCGACGGGAUCGGGGUUCCAAGUUUUAUGGUUGUUCUCCUUCUUCUUCUUCUUCCAGGUUCUUCUUCUCCUUCUUCUUCUUCUUUCAAGGUUCAGGUACGGGGUGAUAGGAUUUGGAUCUUCUAACCUUUAUUUAUUUAUUAUUUAUUUAGAAGAUUAAGGUUUUUUUUUUAAAUUAAAAAAAAAUUGUUUUUUUGCCACGUGGCACAAAUAUAGCAGCCACGUUAGCACUUAAUGGAUCAAUGGAUGGAAAAUGUAACGGAUGUAUUAUUUUGAAAUAACAUAGUACAUAAGGUAUAAAAGUGAAAUGUUUUAAAAAUGUUGUAUGGGGUUGUAAUAGACCUCAAACAUGAGGGGCUACUAUGUAAUUUACCCUAUUUUUUUGUCUUAUUGUCUUUAUAAAAAAAUCAAUAUAAGAUGUUGAUGUGGCUAAACCGUAACCGUUCAAAUAGAAGGGGAGGGAAGAUGAGAGAGAUUAGGAUGGGAGAGAAUCCUCCUCCAUUGCUCAACACUUUCGUUGUAGAAGCCAUGCACGUUCAGACGGAAUAAAAGGUUAUAAUAUAAGAAACUUUAACGAAAAAUUUUCGGUACUGUUCACUUUAACGAAAAAUCAUAUUUUUACAUUAAAAAAUUAAUUCUAAUACUAUUUACUUUACCUUUUAUAAUAUAUAAAAUGGAGGAUCUCUGUCAGGACAGUAAAUGAUGCACAUGGAAUGGGGGCUCCUUUACUCGUUUUACGUACAAAAUUGCGAAUAUUUUAAGUUAGUUGAUGACAAUUUCUUUCAAUAAAGCCGCCCGCCUUUCAAGUGCUUUGCCUUUACAUACAAAAUUGCAAAUUUUUUCAGUCAGUUAAUGAACAAUGUCCUUUGAGAAAUUUCCGAACACUUUUUCUAAUUCCAAGAAAAAAUAAAAAACAAAGAAUUUUAGACUACAAAAUCAUGGAGAGAUGUCGAUUGUGAAUCCUCAUAUUUAGGAUUAUGGCUUGCCUUCUAUUGCGCUCAAUGCCAUUAAUUUGGAUUGUAUUGAUGAUGAUUGUACUAGAGGGUUUUAUUUUUAACAAAUAUCUUUUCUUUUGUUUUUAAUUCAUGGAGAGCUAAAAAUAUAGUUUUUCACUAUUAGAGUUGCCUAAGAUUUGAAAUUAUCUUUUCGUCCACAUGUGAUAAAUCAACUUAUUGAGUUAUUAAUAGAUAACUAUUAAGGGUCCAAGAUUAAUUUAGUUUAAUUUUACCAUUACACAAUCAUUACCACUAGCAUGCAAUUUAAUCUCAUCAAGGACUAACCUACAUAAACAAUUCAACAUAGCAUCUAGGUGGUGCACUUAUUAGUGCAUCAAUAGUUUAGAAUGUCAUGGUGACAUAAGCAAGAUAAAACCAAUCUGAAGCCUAUAAAUUUUUAAAUCAACAAGUGCACAACUUACAAAUAGAAGAAUUCGGCUAAAACAUUAUGAAUUGUCAAUUUAUUUAUUAUAGUUGAUUAACUAAAUGAUCUUAGUCUUAAUUGAUUUUUUUUUAAUAAACGAUAUUUUCAGAGUUAUUUAUAGUUGAAUGGCUUCAACUAUAAAUAAGAAGUUUUGUAAAUCAAACAUGAAGCAUCCUCCUCAACCUUGAGGAGCCAAGCAUUAUUCUACUUUGACAUGGCCAAAUAAAAGAAAAGAAAUUUACACACAAAAAAGUCACUACAACAGUUCUAGUAAGUCAAUCACACACUAUUAAUUAGGUCAUAAACCUCAUGGUAAUUAUGUCCAUGGAAAAAAAAAUCGAUAAUAUCGACGAAAUAUCGUUUUUUUGGAGAUCCAAUAUUUUUUUAACUAUUCAAAUGAUUUUCGUCAAAAUAUUUAGAUAUUAUCAAUAUAUACUAAAAAAUACUUAAAUAUGUUGAGAAAACUCAACACAUACUUCACUUGAUCAUAGCCCAAAGGGCAAACAAGAUAUGGCUAAAUGAGCAGGGGAAUGUGGGUUUUAUAGGACAAAUUGCGAGGGCAGUGAGCAAGCAUAGGCGAUGUGGGACUCUCCCAAUAGGAGAAAUCAGAAUUUCGGCCGAAAAUUUACACCCACUUUAAACGGCCAUAACUUUGUCAAAACUCAACGAAAUCAAGCAAGACAAAAAUGAAAGUUGUAGCCCUCGAAGAGACGAAGAGAAUGGUACCUCACACGAUGUCUGAAUCGUCGUGGUUUGGCCGGAACAUGCCUCGAAAGUCACUGAGAUCGCCAAAAACUGGGUAAGAUUCAAAUGGGUAUAACUUUUUUAAUACUCAACGAAAUUGAGUGAAUCAAAAAGAAAAGUUGUACUACUCGACGAGAAGAAGAGAUUGAUACCUUGCACGCCGGCCAACUCGCCGUGGUUUGGCCGGAAAUUGCCUCGAAAGCCACUGAGGUCACCGGAAAUUGGGUAAGAUUCAAAUGAGUAUAACUUUUUCAAUACGCAACGAAAUUGAGUGAAACAAAAAGGAAAGUUGUAGCCCUCGAAGAGACGAAGAGAAUGGUACCUCACACAACGUCGGAAUAAUUGUGGUUUGGCCGGAAAUUGCCUCGAAAGCCACUGAGGUCGCCGGAAACUGGGUAAGAUUCAAAUGAGUAUAAUUUUUUCAAUACUCAACGAAAUUGAGUGAAACAAAAAGGAAAGUUGUACUACUCGACGAGACGAAGAGAUUGAUACCUUGCACGCCGGCCAAAAUUCAAUUGACACACUCCUGGCUUCCAAAAUUCAAUUCUUUUACUUUAUAUAAACAUGAAAAAACAUAAUCGGCAUCCAAAUUAAAGUUUAGUCUUAUUCUUAUGUGUACGAAAUUUAAAGUGUCAAAUUCGGCAUAUUAUUCUUCAUCAUUUUAUUUACUUCCCUUUUUUUUUUUAAUAUCCUAAAUAAAACCUCCAAAUAUUGUACUAAUUAAUUAUAUAUAAAUGAUUAUGGUGUGUUUAAACUUCUUUCAUUAAUUACUACAUAUUUUCUACACUCACAAUGUUUGCCAGCUCGCUAUAUAAUCAACUUAAAUCAGUUAAAUCCAUCAUGCAAUGCAUUUCCUUCCAAUUUUUUGUGAUAAACUAAUAGAUAAUUGACUAAAUAAACAUCCUACAAAGUUUCAUUAAAAAUUUCCAAGUUUUUCUUACAAUUUCCGUGGUUUCCAUGAAAUUUUUAUCGAUAUCGAUAUUAUCCCAAUAUUUCCAUCGAUAUUUCCGUGUUUUCGGACUACCGAUAUUUCCGAUAUUACCGAUAUUUUCUUCCUUGAUUAUGUCAUAGACUUGUGCACAACUAACAGCUUCAUAAGCCAUUGACUAUAAUUAAAACCCUUUUUUUUUCUUUUCUUUUUCUUUUUUUUUUCCUAAAAAAUAAAGGUUUAGAUUUUGGAGAGAUUUUUUUCGGUUAAAACCUGGAAGAGUUUACUUGAAAGUGAGAGGUCUUAAGUUUAAUUAUUACCAAAGGCGAAUUUGAACCACAUUAUUGCUAACGCAUUGUGAGGCUUAGCACACUCCCUCAUCUUAGUGUAAAUAAUCCCAAUUAUUAAAAAAAAUGGGGAUAGUGGCUAAUCACUCGAUCAUAGGCUUGAUUCCCGGUGACAGGAGGCGCAGCUACACCUCCUUGCGUCUCUGCAGCCUCAUCGGUGCUUCUUGGCAAGCCAAAAACAUAAUAAUUUUCAAAAUACAACGUGUCAAGCAAGCCACUCAAUGGUUCAAAUAUUAUCUAUGCCAAGUCAAAGACAAAAUAAAAAAUCACAAAGUAUCAAACAAGCUCCUCAAUGGUUCAAACAAUGCCCAUAAAACAUGCCAAGCUAAGAAUGAGGCAUGAUAAAUUACAACAUACCAUGCAAACCAUUGAAGCCGAAAAAUCAACCCAACCAAAUAGUUGUGCCAUCCUAUCCUAUCCUAUCCAAGCCAAUCACCAAGUACAAGAACACUCCUAACGUACCACAACAACUAUCACUGUUAUUAACUAUCAUUUUCCAAUUCAGAUGACGAUUAAAAUAAGAGCUACAAAUACAAGUUCGUGAUGCGGUAAAUGUUAAGUCAAUGCACAUGCGGUAAAUGUUAAGUCAAUGCACAUGCUUAAAUGUUAAUUUUCCAACUACCAAAAUCAUGAACGAAAGUAGAAAAUGGGGCAUAUGGGAUGGGACCUCCCUUUAAUUUCGCGCUUUUCGUACAUGUGAAUUUUCUCAGUUAGUUAGUCACCAAUUUCUUUCAAUAAAUUUCGAAGUGCUUUCAAUUGAAUACCUUUCUAUAAUUUUUGGAAAAAAAAGUAGUAAAUUUCACAUUACAAAAUCAGGAAGGAAUAAGAAUAUAGUCGUUCAUGACUAAAGAUUGCCUAAAAUUUGGAAUCUGUCUUUUCGAAACUAUUGAGAGGUCAUAAGUGAGAGCAUAACUUACCUAAAAGUGAGCGCAUAACUAGUGGUGGAUUGCCCUUAUGAUUAGUGCAUUUCUCUUCAACUCACUGUAUCUCGGGUUCAAACCCUCAUGCCUCCAUUAAUGUAGAUAGUGUAGAAUAUCGCUUGUAAUUAAACAAAAUAAGCCCUUUCUCAUUCAAUUGACUUGUUUUACAUACAAAGUUUGGAACAUUUCCAGUUAGUGACCAGUUUUUUUUUAAGAAAUUUCCAAGCACUUUCGGUUGAGUACCUUUUUAUAAUUCCUAAAAAAAUAAAAAUAAGUCAAUUUCACACUACAAAACCAUGGAGGGCUAAGAAUAUAGUCCUUCACUAUUGGAGAUUGCCUAAGAUUUGGAAUCUGUCUUUCCGAUGCUAUUGGGAGGUCAUAAGAUAGCCUAGAACUUGGCCUGAAAGUAAACGAGAAAAACUUAUAUGGAGGUGGCUAAUCAUGUAAUCCGUACAAGAGUAACUUUCCAUGCUAAUGUGUCGUUUCUGUGACACCAGUAUUUUGAAAAUGUAUAUUUACUAUAAUUAUUAAAAAAGAUUUUUUGCGUUUCAGACCCUAAAGUAGAAAAAGGGGCACAUGGAUGGGGCCUCCUUUUAUGCAUUUGAAUUUUCGUAGUUAGUUAGUGGCCAAUUUCUUUCAAGAAAUUUUCAAUCAAUUUUGAUUGAGUACAUUUCUAUAAUUUCUCAAAAAAAAAAAAAAAAAUUCACACAACAAAAUCAUUAAGGGCUAAGAAUAUAGUUGUUCACCAAUGCAAAUAGCUUAAGAUUUUGGAAUUGUCUUUAUGAGCAUAGGCGGCAAAUCAACUUAUUGAAUUAUUAAUGGGUAAUCAUUAAGAGUCUUAGGGCGCGUUUGUUGCGCCGGACUAUCUCAGACUGGACUAGCUUCAAAGACUAAGCUGGACUGGCUUAGACUAGACUAAGCUGAACUAAUUUAGUGAAGCGGUUGGUGCAAUGUUGGACUAAGGGCUGGUUUGGUAUUGCUGUGCUUUGAAAAAAAGCUGCUGUGAGAAUAAGCGGCUGUGCUGUGAGAAUAAGCGGCUGUGAAAUAAAGCAGCAGAGCGUUGGGUAAACUUUUUUGUAAAAGUGCUUUUGGAAAAGAAAAAAAGCAGUCUGAUAGUGGGUCUUUUCAUUAAAGGAGCACUGUAGCUCCAUGUGCUUUGAAAAAAAACCAGUUUUCCAAAGCUGCAAAUAGCAGCUUCAGCUUUUUCCUUUGAUUUCAGCUUAUUCUCACAGCAGCUUCCAAAAUAAGCCUUUCUUUUUCAGUUUACCAAACACCUAAAACCCUCACAGCUUUUUUUCAUAGGUGCUUUUUUUUUAAGCACCUCACUCCCAAACUAGGUCUAAGAAGCUGGAUAAUAACAAAUUCUAAUAUUAUAUUAUUUAAUAUAUAAAUUAUUAAUAUUUUAUUAUGAUCUAGGUGACCAGAGAUGACGAGGAGUCUAUUGGGAGUGGUUGUUGAGCAUGACGAGGAUGUGAGAGGAUAGUCUUAGCUAGUCCCAUGGUUAUUGGGGGGUCUCGCUAAGACCUCUUAGUGAAGGGUUUUGUCCAUGCUAGUCCCCUUUAGUCUCAUUAAUGUUAGUCCUAGCAUGGAACAAACACAGUAUUGGACUAACAGCUAGUCCAGUCCAGUCCAGUCCCACUUAGCGAGGGCAAACAAACGCGCCCUUAGAUGUAUAUAGUUUGAUUUUAUGGUAAGGUAAUACACAAUCAUUACCAGUACCAAUCUCACCACCAUAUCAUGGUGAAAUCAAACCAAAUAGGUCUUAAUAGUUAUUCACUAAUAAUCCAACAAGUUGGUUUGCCGCAUCUAUUACCAAAGCGAUUCUAAAGGUCAUAAGAGAGUCCAGAACUCUGUCUAAAAUUAUGUGCUUGGCCUAAGUAAAAGAGUCAUGAUCCACCAUCUCUCUAUCUAUUUAGGCACUAAACUAAGCAAAAGACAGAGGUAGAAAUUUGGAAGCAAGCAAGGGAGGAGAGAGUAGUUGGCCGCAGAGACGAUCAGUUUUAAGUCCAGCAAUUGUACUAGUUGACUUGCACAAAAUUACACAAGUGCUAAAAUGCUCUUGAAUAAAAAAAAAAGGAGAAAUGAAAUUACCCAACUCACAAAUCACCCCUCAAAUUUCUUUUUUCCAUCCACUGAUUGCAGCUUUGAUCAACAGACCAUCAGACCAUCUCUCUCUAUAGGCACUAAACUAAGCAAAGAGAGAGGUAUAAAUUGGGAAGCAAGGGAGGGGAGAGUAGUUGCCUGAGACUAUCAGAUUUUAGUUCUGCAAUUGUAUUAUUUGUCUUGACUACUUGCACAAAGUUAAUGAAAAUUUUAUGGUGCACCGAGUACCAAGCCUCCAAGAAAAUAUCCAAAGAGAUGAUGAAAAAAAAUAAAGAAAAUGAAUAAGAAAGACAAAUUAAGGGCACAUCAUCAUCAUCAUUUCGUACCAAUUAAUCAAAUAAAUAAACAAGCACCAAAUCCCGCCCGAAGCCAUGGAUUUUAAAACUUUGUUAAAUGUGUAGGACAUGUUAAAAUUUAUUUACAUCCAUAUCAAAAUCUAUUUACAUCUUUAUGUUCAAUAAAAAACAAAUGAUACAUAUCAUAGAGUAUAUUAAGUUGUUUGUAUAAUAAUACAAAUAAUGUUGUAAACAUUCCUAGUUUAAGUAUGAUUGUGUAAAUCCUAGAUAAGAUUUGAUUCUAGUUAUCCUUUCCUAUUACAACUUGUAUUACUUGGAGAAGAAGGAAUAUCUUCUCUCCCUUUACUACUAUAAAUAAAGGCACAAUGUAGGAGGGAUAACAACACACACAUUCCCCUACAAUUCUACAAACACACAUCUCUCUCCUCUCUCUCUCUGCCGCCGGCCCUAGUCCCUCUGUCAGAUAAAAUAGACCACAACACGUUAUCAGCACGCUCCUACCGCUGCUCUUAGGAAUCUGACGUUGGAAAUUUUUUCUGCAUCAAACCAGUUCAUCCAUAUCAUCACGCAAUCAGGUUCUUUCCAAACAACGGUUUUUAACUCGAUAUUUUGCAAGCCCUGAUAGCAUGAACAUUCACCAUGAUGCAUGACCCAACUUUACGUUUAACGUAUUUUAGAUUCUACAUAAAUUGUGUAUGCUUCAUCAUCAAAAUUGCUUCAAUUAUGUGAAUUUGAUAUUUGUCAUGAAUUGAAUCCUACAUAUGUACAUGCAUUGAAACUAUUAUUUGCAUUCGCCUGGAGCGGCCCGCAUAAAAAAAAAAAAAAAAAAAAAAAAGUUUCUAGGCUCGCCUAGAGCGGCCCGCAUAAAAAAAAUAAAAAAAAAUGUUUCUGGGCUCGCCUGGAACGGCCCGCAUAAAAAAAAUAAAAAAUAAAAAAUUUUAGGGCUGCACACAGCAGCCCAUUCCCCUCUUCUCACCCCGUGGGCCUGUAAUCCCACCCGAGGGUUCUUGGCUUAUACUUUUAGGCCCCGAGAUUUUAUUAUUUAAUAUUUUUUUUAAAUAUGGGUUUUUAUAUUUUCACCCACACUUUAAUUUGGCCCCGAAGACCAAAAAUAAAUUACUUCACUUAUCAUUAUACAAUAUUUCUGCAUAUAUUCUUUGCAUAUUUGUUUGCAUAUAUAUUUGUGUUUACCUGCAGGAAUAUAUGAACCUGAAGUUCAUAAUUAUUUUGAAACCCGAAGUUUCUUAUACACAUGCCUUGUUAGAAAACCCGAAGUUUUCACUUAAAUAUAUCACCCAUGAAAACCCGAAGUUUUUCAUGCAAAAUUAAACCAAUACAUGUCUAUUAGAACCUGUAUGUUCUACUCCUAUGUGAAUGAAUUGAUUUUUCUCCAUUACACUAACCACAUCUUGUCCAUCUAUUUUGUGAUAGGAACAUGUCGAUGUCGAACUUGAACAAACUCGACUUCACCGCUUUGGAGGUUUCUGGAAGGAACUACCUUAAGUGGGUUCAAGAUGUGAAGCUCCACCUCACUGCAAAGAACUUGCGUCCUGCUAUUGAAGAAGCAACAGAUAAACCUGUUGGCGAGGCUGAAAAAGCUACUGCUAUGAUCUUCAUCCGAAGACAUAUCCAUGACGCUCUACAAACUGAGUACCUUGCUGAGGAGGAUCCACGUGCAUUAUGGGUCGCUUUGGCUGAUCGUUUCGAUCACCAAAAGGACAUAUUCUUGCCUGAAGCAAGACACGACUGGCAGCACUUGCGCUUCCAAGACUUUAAGUCUGUGAAUGAAUAUAAUUCUGAAGUUUGUCGAAUCCGAUCACUUCUCAAGUUUUGCAAUGAAACUUUGACUGAAGAGGAUCUCCUGGAGAAGACCUACUCGACCUUCUCUGCUUCUAAUAUUGUCCUGCAGCAACAAUAUAGAGCUCAGAAGUUCACUAAGUUCUCGGAUUUGAUCUCUGUUUUACUUCUUGCUGAAAAGCAGAACCAGCUGUUGAUGAAGAAUCAUCAAGCUCGACCUACUGGGGCUACUGCUGUGCCUGAAGCACAUUAUAGCACUAAUCAGCACCCAAAACGCCAAAAGAGGCGUGGUAAGGGCGGCCAGAAGCCAUCCCACCAAGGUCAACAGAGCCAAGGCCCAUCCAAGGGAGGAAACAAAGCCCAGAAGCGCCCAAACCUCGCUCCCAAGGCCCCGAACUUCAAGAAUAAGGGCAAAGCACCUGCCACAAUGAAUGACGAUAUGUGCUAUCGUUGUGGUUCCAAGGACAUUGGUCCCGUAUUUGCCGUGCUCCCAAGAAGGUUGUGGAUGCAUAUCAUUCUCGUCGUACGAAGUUUGAAUCAAACUUCCUGCAAGUGGACGAACCGGAGACUACAAAGAUGGAGGUUUCUGAUUUUCAGGAGGAUACCACUCCUAUGGAAGAUUAGAAUCUUAGACAUAGACUUAUUUUUCAGUUAAAAUAAGACAAUUGGGGCCGAAUUCCACCUUGUGGCCGAACCCCCACCUUGUUUUUUGGUUGAUUUUGAACAAUUUUCCUUUAUGUUUUGGAUUAUUAGUUGGCGAUUUAUUUUGGAUAUUAAGUUUUUAAUCCUUGAAUAAAUGAAAUUAUUUUGAAUUGAUACUUGUUUUUAUAAACUUUUAUACAUGUGACCGAUUCAAAUUAAUUUUUCAUUCUAGGUAUGACUAGUGGGAAAGUUAGUUGUCUGGCAGAUAGUGCAACCACGCAUACUGUUUUGCGUGAACGCAUCUAUUUCACUAACUUCGUACCUAAGAAUGCACCUCUGACAACCCUCUCAGGCCCAUCCAACCUGAUCGAAGGAUACGGUAAGGCACGUAUAAUGUUGUCCAAUGGUACAAUCUUGACCAUUGCUGAGGCACUCUAUUCUCCACGUUCCGGAAGAACGUUACUAAGUUUCAAGGACAUUAGAGAUAACAAUUACCACGCUGAAACCCACGUAGAAAACGGAGUUGAAUUUCUGUGCGUAACUUCCUACGAAUAUGGCCAGAAGCGUAUUCUAGAGAAGAUGGAGCGUAACCCGAGUGGUCUGUAUACUACGACCAUACGCCCCAUAGAAUGCCACUAUGUGGCCGGCCCUACCACAGGGACCGCGCACGAAAUUACACUUUGGCAUGAUCGUUUGGGACAUCCUGGACGAAUAGCGAUGCGCCGUAUCCUCAAAACUUCACACGGGCAUCCACUAACCCGAAGCUUAGGUUCGAUCCAUGAAAUUGCAUGUCAAACAUGUUCUAUGGGAAAGCUUAUUACUAAGCCUUCUUAUGACAAGAUUCGUUCGAAUCCUCCCAUUUUUCUACAACGGAUUCAGGGGGACAUUUGUGGACCGAUUCAACCUCCCUACGGACCAUUUAGAUAUUUUAUGGUUUUGGUUGACGCUUCUACACGUUGGUCACACGUGUGCUUGUUGUCCACAAGGAACGCUGCAUUCUCCAAACUGUUGGCUCAGGUUAUCAAGCUCAGGGCUCACCACCCUGAUUAUCCGAUCAAAUCUAUUCGAUUGGAUAAUGCUGGAGAAUUCACAUCUAAAAAUUUUGAUGACUAUUGCAUGUCGGUUGGGGUUGAAGUUGAACAUCCUGUACCCCAUGUUCACACGCAGAACGGCCUGGCAGAGGCUUUCAUUAAGCGUUUACAAAUGAUUGCUCGAUCGUUGGUCAUACGUACCAAGCUCCCGAUCGCUGCUUGGGGCCAUGCAAUAUUGCACGCAGCAAAGUUGGUCCGCCUGAGGCCUGUUGCGACACAACCAUUUAGUGCCCUUCAGUUGGUCACCGGAUGCGAACCCGACAUAUCGCAUCUGCGUGUUUUUGGUUGUGCGGUCUAUGUGCCGAUCUCGCCGCCCUUACGUACAAAAAUGGGGCCUCAGCGAAGGAUGGGAAUCUAUGUCGGAUAUGAUUCUCCUUCGAUUAUUUGUUACUUAGAACCUUUGACAGGCGAUCUGUUUACCGCUCGUUUCGCGGAUUGUCACUUCUAUGAGACAGUCUUCCCGUUGUUAGGGGGAGAUAAGAGCGUCAACGUUCCUAAUGAACGACGCGAAUUAUCGUGGACGACUCCCACUUUGUCUCAUUUAGAUCCCCGCACCGCUCAGUCUGAAGCUGAAGUGCAGCGCAUAUUAGAUCUCCAGAGCAUAACUCAGAGCAUGCCAGAUGCUUUCACCGAUCUAGCGCGCGUGACAAGAUCACAUAUUCCAGCUGCGAAUACGCCUGCAAAGAUGGAUGUACCAAAUGUACGACGGACUACCCUCCUGGAAGCCCGGGACGCCAAUUCUGGUGAUCCACGUACAUUAGCGGCUAGCCAAUCAUCUGCCCCUACACAAAAGCGUGGCAGACCCCUUGGUUCAAGGGAUUCACACCCCCGGAAGAGGAAAACCACGGCACAAGGUCCUGAAGAGCCUACCGUGAAUCCGACUAUCGCUUACUCAUUUUACCCAACUCAUGAGGAAAUUCUAGAUUAUGGAAGCGUCCUUGAAGAGACGAAUCCUCCUCCCGAGAAUCGUGAGAUUUCGGUCUAUUAUGCUAGCUUAGAUGAUGUGUGGCGUAGAAAUGAGAUGAUUGUCGACGAUGCAUUAGCAUUUGCAGUAGCUACUGAGAUCAUGUUGAGCGAUGACAUUGAACCGCGUUCCGUUGAUGAAUGUCGACGUAGAGCUGAUUGGUCAAACUGGAAACAAGCAAUCCAAGUCGAACUUGAUUCACUUGCAAAACGUAAGGUGUUUGGACCUGUAGUUCCUACUCCUCCACAUGUGAAGCCCGUUGGCUACAAGUGGGUUUUUGUUCGGAAGCGUAAUGAGAAGAACGAAAUUGUGCGUUACAAAGCUCGUCUUGUAGCACAAGGUUUCUCACAACGCCCCGGGAUUGACUAUGACGAAACUUACUCACCCGUUAUGGAUGUGAUUACUUUUCGAUACCUUAUCAGUUUGGUAGUUUCCGAAAAACUGGAUAUGCAGCUGAUGGACGUAGUAACCGCGUAUCUCUAUGGGGAUCUUGAUACGGAAAUUUAUAUGAAAGUUCCCGAAGGACUUACAUUGACUGGUUCAAAUAUUUCCAAACCCCGGAACACGCUCUUAAUUCGGCUGAGGCGUUCACUAUACGGUUUGAAACAAUCCGGAAGAAUAUGGUAUAACCGUUUAAGUGAGUAUUUGACUAGUCAGGGAUAUGUGAAUAACAAACUAUGCCCUUGUGUGUUCAUUAAGAAGUCACAUUCCGGAUUUGCGAUUGUUGCAGUAUAUGUCGAUGACAUGAAUCUCAUCGGAACUCCUGAAGAGCUCGCGAGAACUGCUUCGCACCUGAAGUCGGAAUUUGAGAUGAAAGAUCUAGGUAAGACUCGAUACUGUCUCGGUCUCGAGAUAGAGCAUUGUUCGGAUGGAAUCCUAGUACAUCAAUCGAACUACACCUUUUAAUGAGGAUAAAGCGAAGCCUUCGAGUACUCCUAUGGUCGUUCGUACGCUAGAUGCAAAGCGAGAUCCCUUCCGUCCGAAGGAGGAUGAUGAAGAGAUUUUGGAGCCUGAAGUUCCUUAUCUAAGAUGCACUAGACCCGACAUCUCCUUCGCUGUUAAUCUUUUGGCAAGAUACAGCAAUGCACCAACACGCAGACAUUGGACUGGCGUGAAAGACAUCUUCCGUUACCUUAAGGGUACUACGGAUUUGGGCUUAUUCUAUCCCUACGAAUCCUCGAGUGAUGCCGCACCCUAUGCUCAUCAGGUUGAUUCUCGCCUUGUUGGUUAUGCCGACGCUGGAUACUUAUCUGAUCCGCACAAGGCGCGUUCUCAAACGGGUUAUGUCUUUACCGUUGGAGGCACCGCAAUAUCUUGGAGGUCAACUAAACAGACCUUAGUUGCCACUUCGUCUAACCAUGCUGAAAUUCUCGCCUUACAUGAAGCAACUCGGGAAUGUUUUUGGUUGAGAGCAGUAGUGGGCCAUAUUCGAAGCUCCUGUGAUCUUCAUCCCGCCGUUAAUGCCCCGACGACGAUUUUUGAAGACAACGCAGCUUGCAUCGAACAGCUCAAGAAGGGUUACAUCAAAGGAGACAACACCAAGCAUAUUGCGCCGAAGUUCUUCUUUACACAUUAACAACAAGAGCAUUAGAAGAUUGAAGUCACGCAAAUCCGAUCACAAGACAAUCUGGCCGACCUCUUCACCAAAUCACUACCGAAGGCGACGUUUCAGAAGCUUGUUCAUGGAAUUGGUAUGCGUAAACUUUCUGAGUUGUAACUUUGCUAUUUCUCUUUGGAAUUAUGUCAAACUCAGGGGGAGUAUCUUCUAGAUACUUGCUUGAUCUUAAUGUACUCUUUUUCCCUACGAUUAGGAGCAUUUUUCCCACUGGGUUUUUGCUACCUAACUAGGUUUUAACGAGGCACCCACCUUGGGCUGGUCAUAUCCCUGAUGACGUCCUGUAGACGUUUCUUUUGACUUUGCAUUUCUCACGCAUUUUUCCUUAGACUAUGGAUUUUGUCCCUACUUGGGUUUUUGCCAUAGCCUUAGGGUUUUUUUUAGUGAGACUUACUACUUAUAUGCAAGUUCCUACCUUAUUGAGAAAUAAGCGUUGUUCCUUGGAAUCAGUGCUGACGAGUCGACUUCCUCAACUUCUGCAUGAUGCUGAAUCUACCUUGAGUAUUUACCCACUCAAGGGGGAGUGUUGUAAACAUUCCUAGUUUAAGUAUGAUUGUGUAAAUCCUAGAUAAGAUUUGAUUCUAGUUAUCCUUUCCUAUUACAACUUGUAUUACUUGGAGAAGAAGGAAUAUCUUCUCUCCCUUUACUACUAUAAAUAAAGGCACAAUGUAGGAGGGAUAACAACACACACAUUCCCCUACAAUUCUACAAACACACAUCUCUCUCCUCUCUCUCUCUGCCGCCGGCCCUAGUCCCUCUGUCAGAUAAAAUAGACCACAACAAAUAAAAAUAUCUUGUUUUCUACGUCUAACUUUUUCACAUUAUUGUUUCGUACUUCACUCUUCUUUCUUCUUUGCUGCCAAAAAGAUAAUUUUCUUGUACCCAUGCAUAGAAUUUUUAGAUAUGGAUCAAAACUAACAUACAAUAUAGAACUUCUGUUUUUCACUUGCUUAUGGAUUGGGUUACAAUCUAAGCUUGAGAAAAACAUUACAUGAGCUGAAAAAACAUAGUUAAGAAAAGAAAGAAGCUAGGUACUUUUCUUUCAUUACUAGUUGUGUAUUUACUCAGAAUACCAAUUGAAUGAAAAGGUAUUAAAUUCAUGAAUUGUAUGACAAGAAACAACAAAUGCAAAGAUUGUUUUCUUAAGAAAUAUAAAUUUAAAUGAUAAUUUUCUUAGCUUAUAUUAACAGUAGGACGUAAGGAACACUAAAAAUUGAAGUCAGACUGGACUUGCUUUUGGGGCGAGUCCGGCUAGCAUUCUCCCUUGGAAAUGGUCCUCCUCACAAAGCCAUCAUCAGAUCUAUUUCAUCAACCUUCAUUUUUGGUUCAGGUCAAUUUUCAUCAUUGAGAACGAGUUGGUAAAUACUUAAUGGGCCGGGCUCAUUAGAGCCAGUGGCAGUUUUGAAAUCACAGCAAUACGGUACCAUUUUUGUCACAAAAAAUAAGAAGGAAAAAUCGAAUAACCAUCGUUUUUACUUUUUACCCCUCAACUAUUGGCAUCUCUCCGUGUCUCCGUCUGUCUUCUGACUAUCCUCCUAAUCGGAGAAGAAGGGCAACCAAAUCCUCGCUGUACGUCGUUGUUUUCUAAGGCAUCGAAAUCUUGGUCCUCCGAAUUCGUGGUUUUCUGAUUCUUCCCGGUGCUCCUCUCCAUUGAUUCCAUGGUCUGAUCUUCGGCGAAUCGCAAUCCGACGGUGGCGAUGGCGUCGGCGCAGAACCAAUCGGCGAAUGUGGAUCUCUUCGAUGCGUAUUUCCGACGAACCGGUUUGUACCGGCCGGAUUAGUGGCAAUGAAGCCGUCGCUUUCUUCCAGGGCUCCGGUCUCCCCAAACAUGUCCUAGCGCAGGUACUCUCUCUCUAUAUAUAUGUAUGUGCUUGUGUUUAUAUGUAUAAUUGGAUGAGUAUAUUUGUGUAAUUAUAGUGGUUGAUCGGGAUUUGAUGCUGGUGGAAAUGUGUUCCAAAUCAAUUGAUUUUGAAUUUGUAGUCUAAUUGUAGUUGAAGUAGUUAAUGCGAGCUCGGGAUGUCGUAAUUCUCUGAUCUAAGCUGAGAUUUUUAUUUCGUGUUGGUAUAAUUAUAAAUGCGGAAUUGAUGUUAAAAUGGUAGAAAAUAAGUAGAUGAAGGAUUUAUACUACAGAUAGUGAGGUUGAGAGAGUUAUGUUAUUAGGUCAUUAAUUUACUUAUGGUGUGUCCGUUCGACAUUAUGUGGUAAGCAGACUUUAGAUAUGUGUUAUAUGACCCAAGGAUUGACCUAGGAUUGUUUAUUACAUUACAAUAAUGUAGUUGUAAUGUAACUGAACUGAUGCAUCUUUGCAAAACUUGUACUAUCCCUAUCCUGGAGUUGAAGUUGUUUAUUCUUCGUCUUCUGGGUGGUGGAUGAUUGACAAUGUUUAGUUGGUGGCAUUUGGCUUGAAUUCCUGAACAUAGCAGGCUAGAUCAAGCAUAUUUUUCUGCAAGAUGCUUUGCCGCUGGAUUGUCAUUCUUUGCAUGAUGUGUUUGUAUUUUGAUGUAAAAACUUACUUGAUGCCAAAAAUAUUUUGUAGAUAUAAAAUUUUAUUUGUAAUUGGGAUUAUUUUUUUGCUGGCCAAUUGACAUACAAUCAUCCAUAAGUACUAUUAAAUUGAGUCAAAUGUGCAGUCUAGAUUGAUGAAUUACUACCCAUCAUGCCACAUGAUCCUUGAUGGAGUGGUUUUGGGAGGGGCGCCCUCUUCCAGAAGCGCUACCAAACAAUGUUAUGUUUGAUUUAUCCCGGAGUUAAAGUUGUUUAUUUUUCCUCUUCUGGGUGGUGGACGACUGACAAUGUUUAGUUGGUGGCAUUUAGCUUGAAUUCCUGAACGUAACAGGCUAGAUCAAGCAUAUUUUUCUGCAAGAUGCUUUGCUGCUGGAAGUUCAUUCUUUGCAUGAUGCGUUUGAUAUAACCAAUAUUUUUCAACCUGGAAGUAAUUACUCCACUGCUGGCAGUGUAUUCUGGAGACCUGCAUCUGGCAUUCAUCCAUAAAACAAAUUCCAUUUUUUUUUUUUCAAAAACCAUAUGUCUUUCUUUGAUGGAGAAUAGUUUCUUAUUUUUCACUUUGAAAGGCUUUCAACAACAGCAACUGAUGCCUGGUCCUGGUGCUCUGCACAUGGCAGCCCCAGCUGGAGGAAGGCCUCCGAAGCCAGUCGCUCUUUCUCAUGCUUAGGUAAAGCAGCAGGCCAAUCAGCAGAAACCUAGAGUACCAGAAUUGGAGAAACAUCUUGUAAAUCAACUGAGUACAGAGGAGGUUAACCCACUGAACUCAAAGUUCAAAGAAGCAACCAAAGCUGAUAGUACUUAGGACUUUAAUGUUUCCCCAAUUUUUUCAGCUUGAGCAGCAAAGUUAUGUGUGCAUGUUACUUCUUGAUAAGUGUCAAAUCAUAACAAAUAUCCCAAAGACUUGGAAUUCUUGUGAUUGUGGGUUUUACUUUGUUCUUAAUAUCGCUCAUUUCUGUGGAGAAGAUUUUGAUCAAGUUUAAGUAGGGAGGCUGUUCGGGUUUUGAAGUUUAUGAUUAGUUCUUUUAUAUUAGUAAUCUUAAUGAGUGGCACUUCACAUGUUUUUAGUGCAUGGCAUUCAUUAUACUUUCUUUUUUAUUAGCAUUCAUCAUACUUUAUUGCAGUUUUGUUCCAAUCUCAGCUUGCCUUUCCUCACCCUUUGAUGCAAUUCUGUUUGUUCUUUGCAGGUCGAAGAACUGGAGAAAGAAAUAUUGGAUGCUAGAGAGAAAAUUGAAUACUUAUGGGUCAAAAUGCGGGAACUUGUGAGUAUCUCGUGUUUAUUUCUACCCUUUCUUUCUUGUAUGCCAUUGGUUGUGCAUAUUGAACAUUCUACAGUAGUUUUAAUUUUUGUGUUCGAAUAUAAUUGUUCUACGAGUGAUAGAUUUUUGGACAUCCUAAUCAUUUGUUGCUUUUAAAUAAUCUGCAGACUUCUUACUAUUUGAUUUUUGCAGUGGUGUAAGUUGGUAUUGAUUCUUGAAUUGACAAGUACUCUUGGGAGGAACUGCAGAUCAUGCGUUUUAUCAUUGUCCUGUAGCUUUAUAUGUGUGGCUGAGAUUGUGUAGGGAAGGAAAUGUAAGUUGGGUAAUUCCUGCAGGGUACAUAAGUUGUUUGGUGGAUAUGAAGCUUUUGUGAGGGUGCAGUAUGCCAACAAUUUUUUGGGGUUUAUUGGUUCGAGACUUGGGAGCAGUCUCUCCAUAAAUGGGGUUAAGGCUAGCCGACAUUCACCUCUCCCAGACCCUGCGUAAAGCGGGAGCCUUGUGCACUGGGUACGACCUAUUGGUUUGAGAGAAACACGAGGAUUUUUUUAAAACGAUAUUUGGGUGAGGACUAGUUAUGGAAUAAAGAUAGAUUUUGUUCACCACGUUGGCUGAUCUAUUUUUCUUAUUGGUAUAAGGUUUUGUACAAGAGUAGAUGUGUCAAUUGCCUUAAUGCGAUGACAGAAAGGGCCUCUGCUGAUAGACGUGAGGUAUGCUGUAGGAUACUUGAGCAUAUUGCCUGCUUAUAGACAUAUGUCAUCUGCUAAUAGAUUUCUGGUUGCACUUAGAUUCCUUUUACCUUUUCACCUUGUGGUAAAUGAAUCAUAUUGCCUGCUGAUUGUAGUUUUUGUUUUCUGGUUAUGGUUUGCCAACUUGUUCAGGAGAUUUAACUAUUCGAGGUGACUGAUUGAGAAGUUUAAUUGUCAGAUUCACUUUUGUGAAGGAGCUCACUCUUGAUGUGUCAAAUGUCUUGGCACCUCCAAAACAGAAAUCAUCAUCAGUUCAGAAAGAAAAAGCUCCCCCACUUGAGAGUCCAACAACUGCUUCUUCACCUAAAGUUGAUGUUAAGUAAAAAAAGCCUCUAAGUACAGAUGCCAAGGUUGUUGAAAAUGGAGUAGCAUAAGAUAAAAAUGAGGACGAGUCAGCAAAAAGUGCUCUGAACAGUCCAUUUGCCAGCAGUACUGUUGGAAGCCCAUCUAGAGAAUUUCAGAUUCUAACUAUGGAAAGACAACAGACACAGAUGCCUCACCCCGUAAUAAGGAAUCUCAAAGGUAUAGAUCUAGAUCUGUAGUUUUCUACAUAUUUAAGGUCACCCUGAUACGUGCAAAAUUGUUGAUAUUCUAAACUUUCAUGUGUAGUGAUGAUCAUGCGGGUGUUGGGACUAUGUUUUCUGGCGACAAUGGUUCCGAUGAACCAGGGGUUUCAAUGCAUUUAGUACCGCCAAGGUAAACUGAUAUUGUACAUUCAGUUUUUUAUUUUUUAUUUUUGCUCCUAUCAACUUUACACAGGACACACAAAAGAAGUACUUUGAUUCUAUUAGACGGGGGAGGGUGAAGAAGCUAGGACAGAAGGGUAGAGUUCAAGAGAGCAAAAUGCGUUUAGGAACGUGGAAUAUAGGAACCUUAACGGGAAAAUCUAUGGAAGUAGUGGAAGUUAUGGUGAGGAGAAGGAUAAAUAUUAUGUGCCUACAAGAAACUAAGUGGGUUGGUCGUAAGGCAAAUGAUCUAGAAAACUCAGGGUUUAAACUUUGGUAUUCCUGCAUUGCUGCUCUCCAGUGAGAAUGCUUUGAGGCUUGCAAGUAAGUACUAGGAACAAAAUCAAGAUCAACCGGAAGUGGGUGUUUGGUUGCUGCAUAAGCUCUAGACAUGUGAAGACCAGCCUUAGAUCUGGUAAUCAUAGGAUGUGUAUUCCGAGAAAUAGGUGGUGGCCUUGACUGUAGUGGUGAAAGAGAGGAGUCAUUGAGAGAGACAGAACUGGAGGAACUGAGAGAAUGAUCCACGGACUGAGUACAGGAAGAAGGCUCUGUGGAAGAUGGGAUCUGAGUAAUAGGUUGAGGUACAGAAGGACACUGUCGUUCUGAAGAGUUAUUGGCUGGAGGAGAAGGAGAGACAUGUUUGCUGAAAUGAAGAUCCAAGGAUGGUGAAAAAUCAGAAGAUGAAGUUUCUGAAGUGAAACUGUUGAGUGGCAGUGAUUUAAAGGGAUAAGUUGUUUCAUCAAAGACAACAUGUCUUGAUAUGUAGAUCCGAGUGGUGAGAGGAUCAAGGCAUCUAUAGCCUUUAUGUUGAAGACUAUAGCCCAAAAAUACACAACUUUUGCUCUUAGCAUCCAAUUUGCUGGGAGUGUAAGGUUUAAGCCAUGGAUAACAGUGACAACCAAAGACUUUCAGUUUAGAGUAAUCUGGAGGUUGAUUGAAGAGAAGUUCCCAAGGUGACUUUGUAAGACCAGAAAUAGGAAGUCUGUUAAUAAGGUAAAUUGCAGUGGAGAAAGCUUCAACCCAAAAAAUUUGAGGAACAUGAGAAGCAACAAGUAAUGUGCGAGCUGUCUCAACAAGAUGUCUGUGCUUUCUCUCUGCACAGCCAUUUUGUUCAGGCGUAUGAGGACAACUGAACUGAUGUAAUAUACCAUGUGCACGAAGAAAUGAAGCAAGAGAAUGACUAGUAAAUUUACCCCCUGAAUCUGAACGCAGAAUCUUGAUUUUAUUUCCACUGAAGUUUUCUACAUAGGUUUUGAAAGUAACAAACGUAGAAAAUACAUCGGAUUUAGACUUCAAUGGAAAAAACCAACUGUAUUUGCUAAAAUCAUCAACAAACAGUAGGUAAUACUUGAAGCCACUAUUAGAUGUAACAGUAGGUCCCCACAGAUCACAAUGCAGAAGCUGGAGACUCUGAGUUGUUGAUGAAUAAGACACUUCAAAAGGAAGCUUGUGAUUUUUAGCAAGCGCACAAUCUGAGCAGAAAAAAUCAACAGUUUUCUGGCCUUGCAGUGGAAGAUUAUUAGUGGAUAUAACUCUUCUAAAAAUUGAGGAGGAAGGAUGGCCGAGGCGCUUGUGCCAUACAGGGACAGGUGCUUGAAUGCUGAGAAAAGCUGAAGGUGAAGUGGGAGAACUGGUGGAACUGUGAAAAGGAUAGAAACCAUCCUUAACAGGGCCUUGCAAAAGCAUCUUCCCCGAAAUGCGAUCCUUGACAGUGGAUCCAUAAGGGUCAAGUUAAUGAACAGUUAUUAUCCUUAAGAAAUUGAUAAGCAGAUAAGAGAUUAUGUUUUAUGAAAGGAACAUGUAAAACAUUUCUCAGCUUAAAGGAAGUAUAAGGAGUGUGCAGAGAUGAAGAACCAAUAUGAUGAAUAGAUAGUCCUUUACCAUCUCCAAUGUAUACUUUGUCUUCUCCAGUGUAAGGAGUAGGAGAAGAGAUGUUAGCUACAUCAUCAGUGAUGUGAGAAGUAGCUCCAGAGUUAAUCAACCAAGGCUGAGAGGGUUUUGCUGAAUGAUGCACACACAUAGCAGCAAGUUUGGCUGGAGGAAUUCUACCACAGAUAUCCAGAUUCAUACGAUCAAAACAAUCAAGUGCCUCAUGACUGGUAGAUCCACAAAUCUGACAAGGGACUUUAAAAUUGGAAGGACCUUGAUAAUUGUGAAAGCCUUGAUAAUUGCGAUUGCCACGAUUGUUGAUGAAAUUACCCCUAUUAUUGUUAUGAAAGGUGCGAUUGCUGCGAUUUGAGGAGAAAUUACCUCUAAAUGUCUUACCACGAUUUGAGUUAAAUCGAGAAGCAGGAUGAAAUGAUUGAUUUUUAGCAGCAAAGGCAGAUGGAGUAGGAAGCAGGGGAGGCUGAGAUUGCACUGAGAAUGCUUGAAAGGGCUCAGAGGAUGAAAGAACAGCCUUGCGACGGGUCAUAGACAACUCUUUGGUGAGUAAGAGACCAUGGAGUUCAUCAAGGGAUGUAGAAGAGAGCCGCAGCAUGAUGGAGUCAAUAAAGGACUCGAAUUCAUCAGGUAAUCCAUGUAGAGUGGCAGCAAUUAGGUCACGAUCAGACACUGAAGCACCAGCAGCUUCCAAGGAAUCAGCAAUUUCCUUGAUUUGUUGAAGAUACGCAGAAAUGGACUGAGAACCUUUCUGAAUUGAUUGAAGUCUGGACCUUAAUUGAUGAAUGUGAGCUUCCGAAACUCCACCAAAACGCUGUUCAAGCUUUACCCAGAGCUCACGAGAAGAAGAAACUCCAACCGUGAACGGAAUGAUCUCUUCGGACAGGGUAGAAUUAAGCCAAAUCAAAAAUUUUGAUCUUUUUCAUACCAAUCCUCAAAGGCAGGGUUCAUCGAGCGAUCAGGCAAGAAUGGCGAAGGACAAACCUCAGUGCCGUCAAUAAUACUAAGAAGCUUGUAUCGCCUGAAAAUUGGAGCAAACAGUGCUCGCCAUGGCAGAUAGUUGGAACUUUUCAGCUUGAUCGGCACCAUACUGCCCAUGUUGUGAAUCGUCAGAGAGGUAUACGAAUUCAGAGGACUCGGAUUAGAAGAGGAAUUAGGGUUUUGAACCGAAGGAGAGAUGACCGGAGAAGACGAUCCAGUCGGUUGCGACGCAGAUUGAGCAGCCAUAGCUUGCAGAAAACAAGAUUCAAGAGAGAUCGAGAACAAAAAGUGAAGAAUCAGAGAGAAGAAAGCAAGAAUCGAUCAAGACACGAUCGAGAUGACGAGCGGAAGAGAAGGUCGGUGCUGUAAAGCAGAACGGCUCUGAUACCAUAUAGAAACAGAAAACUUCAAUAGUAAGUUUUCCUGAUUGUAUUGAAUGAAUAAUUCAGUUACACAGGUGUCAAUAUAUAUAGCCUUAGCUGCCUUAGGCUAAUUACAAAAGUACCCUCAACUACCUAAACUAAUCACAGUUACUAACAAAAACAAUUACAUUUAGCUUUAACAACUAUUUUUUUUUUUUUUUUUUUUUUUUUUUUGAGAAGAAACAAAACAUUUUAUAGAAGAAAAGAGAAAUACACUGGAGUGGAUAAGAAAUCCACCAAACAAGAAACAAGAAAAAACUCUCACUAGGAUUUGGCUACAGCAACAUUAGCUAGACUCACUUUACUGCUGCUAACAAAUCCCACAGUAAUUGAGAAAUAGAGUAGUUAUUAAAAACAUUUGAGACUGAAGCCCAAAGGGCUGCCCAAUAUUUUACUCUUCCCCAAAGUACUUCUACCCCCACACCUGUAUAAUCCUCAAAAAUUCUUUUGUUACGCUCCAGCCAAAUGUUCCAAAAAACUGCCGAGACCAGACAACCCCACAAAGCUUUAGCUUUCCUCCCACUUCCUAGGGCCUGAAACUUGGUGCUUAGAAGCUCGAAACAACCCUUUGGAAUGACCCAACUAGCUCUAACCUCCUGAAACAGUUUCCACCACAGCUGAAUCGUGUAAGAGCAAUGGAGAAAAAUGUGGUUUACACUCUCCUCCUUUGCUUUGCACAAACUGCACCAUUGUGGGGAUAAGCAAAUAAAAGGGCUUCUCCUUUGAAUUUGGUCACAAGUGUUGAGCUUCCCUUUGGCCGCCAGCCAUACAAGAAUCUUAACCUUCGGAGGAACUUUGGAUUUCCAAAUCUGUGAAUGGGGUUGGAAGUAUUGCAUCAUCCCAUUGUUACUCAAAGAAGGAACAAUAGGAUUUGCAUGUGAACAAUCCUGAUGCUUCCAUUUUCCACCUUCUGUUAUCCAUUCUUGAUUGAGACAAUCGGACCUCUUCCACUUUCUGUAAUAAUCUAGCCGCCUCUUCUAUCUCCGCCUCAUUCAAAUUUCUCCUGAAAUCAAAAUUCCAACUUAAAGAAUUGGUAGAAAGAUCUACAAAGCUUGAAAUGUUCUGAUUGUGCUUCCUCGAUAGCAAGAAUAAUCUAGGAAAUUGCUCUUUCAAUGGUCCUCCAUCUAACCACCCAUCCUCCCAAAACCUCACCCUCUCCCCGUUGCCCACCUCGAACUUACAGCAGUGAAGAGAAACAAUUGGGAACCAAUCGAUAUAUCUUUCCAUGGGCUACGGCUUGAACCCCUUAUCGGAGGAAAUGCGUUCCAUCCGUUAUCCUGUAGCCCAUAUUUGCUUCUUAUCACUUUGUGCCAGAGAGAAUGAGGUUCCUUUGGGAAUCUCCACAACCACUUAGCAAGUAAUGCUUCAUUCCGAUUCCUCAAAUUCCCCACCCCUAAACCUCCUUCCUCUUUACUUUUAAUAACUAUCUCCCAUUUUACCAGGUUGUUUUUUCUUUCCUUCCUCCACACCUUCCCACAAAAAUCCUUUCAUUAGUUUUUCUAGGCGUCCAAUCACCCCGCAAGGCAUUUUGAACAGAGACAUGUAGUAGGUCGGCAAGCUUCCCAAAACAGAUUGAAUCAGAGUUAAUCUACCUCCUCUGGAUAAGAAGGCCUUCUUCCAACUUUGAAGUCUUUUUUCCAUCUUAUCUACCACUGGAUCCCAAAAACUUGAGUGCUCUUGGCCUACCCCAAGAGGGAGUCCCAAAUACUUUAUAGGCCAGCUACCUACCUCACAACCCCAAGAAUCCGCCAACCUAUUUAAUUUCUCACAAUCUGAAUUUAUUCCAGCCAAAUAACACUUAGCUUUGUUGAUUUUCAACCCUGAAACAGAACAGAAUAAUUUGAGCAGCUCUAAUAGAUUGUUCCAACCUCCCUCAUCUUCCGCCAAGAAAAAAAUGGUAUCAUCUGCAAAUUGAAGAUGAGAAAAUCUCCACCUUUUCUUGCCCAAUACAUAACCCUUUGAUGAGAUGAUUUUCUUGAGCCUUCUCCAUUAACCUACUCAAAACAUCGACUACUAAGGUAAAAAGAAAAGGUGACAGUGGAUCACCUUGUCUCAAAACCUCUUGAAGCUUGAAAAUUUUCCCCUAGGCCUCCCGUUAAUCAAAACAGAAAAAUUUGCGGAACUUAAGCAUCCCUGCAUCCAUUUCCUCCAUCUGUUGCCAAAGCUUUUUCUUUGUAAGACUUCGUCCAAAAAUCUCCACUCUACAUGAUCAUACGCUUUUUUUCAAAAUCUAUUUUUGAGCACCAAUCCCUCCUCUUUCUUCUGCCUGACCUCUUCUACCACUUCAUUUGCGAUAAGGACAGCAUCCAAUAUUUGUCGAUCCUUAACAAACGCUCCUUGAUUUUGAGAAAUUGUGCUGCCCAAGACCUCCUUUAAUCUUGAGGCCAAGGUUUUUCGCCAUAAUUUUUAUAUAACCCAGUCACAAGACUUAUGGGCCUGAAAUCCGUCACUUUCAUAGAAUCUGACUUCUUCGGAAUUAGACAAAUAAAAGUUUCAUUUGUCACCGCAUUUAUUAUCCCUGUCUCGUAGAACUCCUCCAUAAUCUUCAUAAUGUUCACCUUCAAGAUAUCCCAACAUUGUUGAAUCAUUUGCAAAGAAUAGCCAUCCGGUCCUGGCGAUUUAUCCUUUCCACAAUCAAAAACUGCUCUUUGAACUUCGGCUUCCUCAAAAGGCCUCUCAAUCCAAUUCGCCUCAAGUUCGCUUAUUGGAGCCCAAUUGAUACCUUCCAAGCCCCAACAUGCCUCUCUUCGUUGCUACUAAACAAGGACUUGAAGAACUUGACUAUAUGAUCUUCUAUCUCGUUCGCAUCCUCUAUCACUCCCCCAACCUCCGAUUCCAACCUUUCUAUAUAGUUUCUCUUCCUUCUCCCGCUUGCAACUCGAUGGAAAAAUUUAGUAUUACCGUCCCCUUCCUUUGCCCAUUCCACUUUACUUCUUUGCCUCCAUUUCACUUCUUCCUUGUAAGCCAAAUCUCCCAUACGGAAGAGUAGUUCUUCCCUCUUUCUUCUAGCAUCAACAUCUAGCCCUUCCAUCCCCUCUCUCCUAUCUAACUCCUCUAAGCUAGCCUCAGCUUCUUUAAAGUCUUUCUCAACUUCCCCGAAACUCUCCUUACUCCAUCUUUGCACCUUUUUUUUUAUGGCUUUUAACUUGAUCAUAAACUUGUAACCCUCCCAUCCCUCCACCUGCUCAGAUUGCCACCAUAGAUUGAACUUGUUCCUGAACUCUGGAUGUUGUAGCCACAUGUUUUCGAAUCUAAAAGGACUUGGCCCCCAUUUCACCUUGUUGGAUUCUAGCUGGAUAGGGCAAUGAUCAGAAAUUACCCUUGCCAAAGCCAUUUGUCUUACCUCUCUGGAAAAAUCUCUUCACAACCUGCAGAGACCAGAAAUCUGUCUAGCCUCCGACACACAGGUUCUUCUCUGAAAUUUGACCAUGUAAAUUGAGCAUUAAGCAAUUCCAAAUCUUUGAGUUCUGUUUCUCGAAUGAAAUCAUUAAAAUUCCUCAUGCUUGUAGUCAGCCUUCCCCCAUUUUGAUUUCUCGUUUACAAAUCUCACCACGUUAAAAUCCCCUCCUACACACCCAUUUUGGUCCGCACAGUCCGUAAAGGCCAGCCAUUUCUUCCCAGAACUCCCUUCGCUCUCUACUUUUGCAAGGGCCAUAGACCCCUGAUAACCACCAUUCCAACCCGUUGAAGGCCUUAAUUUUUAUGGAGACAGAGAAAACUCCAAUCAGAGAUUCAGUAACUGAGAUGUUUUUGGUGUUCCAAAUUACUGCUAUGCCCCCAGAACUUCCUUGAGCAGGGGCAUAAAUCCACUCUUUAAAUCUGCUUCCCCCACACGCUGGCCACAAGUCUCCCUAUCGAUUGAUGUUUUCUUAGUUUCUUGUAAUAUAAUGAUAUCAGGCUGUAAACGUCGGAACUGCUGUUUCAAUGUCAGUCUCUUCUGUUUACUUCCCAAUCCUCUAACAUUCCAGCUAAUUAUCUUCAUUAAGUCUGAUAAUACCCCUUUGAAAUUUCUUGUCUCCCUUGCUUCCACCCUCACUCUUGCUGACUUUAACUUUCCCAGUCUUCAUUUCAUGGAAUAAAGACCUUUUCAGAGGAAACAAGGAAACUUUCAUCUUUGACAAAAAUUUGGAAGAUUGAUCUUGUGCCUCGCGUUUGACUGAUACGCAAGCCGAUCUUUUCCUUCUACUGUACUUUAACAUUUUCUUGUUUUUUCCAAUAUCCUUGAAAUCGGACUGCUCCACAUCUUCUAAUGCUACUACAUGAUGCGUUUGACUUGGUUCCUCUUCCGCUGUCGCCUCUGUUUCCAAAUUUGUAUCUAUGAAGAGGUUGUGAAGCUCCCCGUUGAACCGAUCAAAAACAUCAGAUGGUUCUUUUUCGUCUUGUGAAGAGUCACCAUUCUCCUCAUCUGAAUCUGAUGAUUGUGACAUGUAUUCUUCUUCAGCACUAUCUGAUAAAAAAGACGAAUCCAAUCCAAGAGCCUCAGUCCAUCUCAUCCUUUGAUCAAAUGGUUCCUCCUCUGUCGACCAGCCCGAUCGCCGAACAGGAUUUUCAUCAACAUCACUCUCCUUUUCUUCCCUCUAAUUCACAAACAGAAUCUAAGAUGGAAAGAUUGGGGGAAUGGAUUUCCAUCAUUUCAGGCCUUUCGACAGCAGUCUGGUUAGAUCCGAAUUCGUGUGGGAGAAGAAGCUUCAGCCUUUUUCCAAGUUUGUCUAUUUCACCAAAUCUCCCAAGAAACUUCAAAUUGAAACAAGUGGGGGCUUUUUUUGGGACACCGUCGAAAUGAGCUUCCUUAGCCUGUUGUCGCUGAAAUAAAAUCUCUGUAGUAAAAUUUGGCAUGUUGCUCACCCGAAACGACAACUUUGGUUCUGCCGACAUGGCUGAGUGCCAAAAGAUCUUGUUUGAUAGUUCCCUUCCUAACUGAAAAUGAUAUCUCAGCCCAUCAUAGUUUAGAAUAAGUGGGCCUAGACAUGACCCAGCAUAAUUAUUUUGUGGAACAAGACCCACGAGCCUUACAAAGUCACUUAGAACAAAAUCCUUGUGAACCAGGGGCCCACGCACCAUCAAAGCUUUUUCUUUACUUUUUAGACUAACCUCCUUGUUUGAUCUAUUAAAAUAAUACCCACUUGUAGAGCUUUGUGCUUCUUCGGUGGACAUACCACCACCGCCACCUGCUCUCCCACUUACUUCCAUGCCUUUGCCAUUUUCCAAAAAGCACCUUUGUCUGAGACUUUCUUUCCUUUUUGAAUUCUUGAAAUUAUCCUUUGCAUCUGCAUUUUCUUGUUCUUCUAUAAAGCUCGCCGAAUCUGUCAGACAUUCUUUCUUAAGUGGCCUCCCGUGCUUGCUAAUAGAGAAAGUAAAGUCAUGGGUUGCAGACACCUCAUGCCGUGCAUCCUCUGUCAAAAGCCUGUUCAGACCAUACUUUCUGUCAGCUCCAACAGUGACAGGGCAUUCAAACUCACCAAUCCGGAAAGAGACACGUGUCCCCGGAAAAGGAACUGAUUGUUGCAUAUCCGCCUUCGCCGGAAGGGUAGCUCCGGUGAGCCUCUGUAUUUUCAGGUCCUUCUUCAAAGAUCCAUUUGGUGAUUUAGUUGCUCCACCGUCUUCAGCCGAAGAUUAGGUCUCUUUGCUGGCGAAAGUUGACGAAUUUUAACCCUGAAAACUGAUUCUCCAUCUGCCACGUCAACGAACUCUGGAAUAAAGCCUGUGUCGUUGGGUUUCAAUUUUAAUUUUGCUUCGAGCAGAAAAUCAAAGUUAGCGGUUCUUCGGUCGAUUUCUACCAGACCUCCGCAGGCCUCUCCAAUCUUCAGGAAAAAAUUAUUGGUCCAAAGGUGUGGCGGUAAUCCUUCCAGAGCCACCCAACCGCCAUAACUAACCACCUUUCUGUGAUUUGAAUUGAUACUGUCCCACCAUCCAGACAUCACCACGUCUGGUAGCUUUUUCAUGGCUAGAGUUCCAAGUUGAGCAAUUUUGGUUGCUUCCUCUUCGUUCUGACAAACGAACAACGCCUUGUUGCAUUGGAAAGGCGAGAGUCUUAUUUCCAUUCCCAGAAGAUUUCGAAGUGAGGCCUCCACCUCUCUCCAAGGUUGAUGUACCACCUGUCUCUCACAAACAACUACGCUCCCCCAGCUGUAGGCUUCCUUGGAAAUGUCUCUCUUAUUCCAGAUUUUCUUCAUCCAUAUUUCCUCUUUGGCAUUUCGAAUGGGUGCCACAAUUGUCGCCUUCUUGCCUCCGAGGACAGCAUCCCUAUACGAAACCUGAUGGCCUGCACCCGUCUGGCUGUUCACGAACUCUUUUCCGACUCUUUUCACUUUCCUCUGAGUAGCCCCCACUCUCUUUCCCCCACGGAGGAUUUCAGACAAUAAGACCUCUAAACUUCUCCAUCCGAAAAAGUUAAAACCUUCAGGGACGAGAAUAUUUCUGACAAAGCCUUCCUUUUCUGAUUUGGAGAUAACAAGGAAAUCCCCGUUUUUGUUAUGAAAUCUUUCGACCCAAAACUGGUAGUUAUGUCCACUAUAUUUUCUGAAGAACUUCUGCCCGCCCUUAACUAUUGCCUCCUUUACCUGAUCAACUAGCCAAGCAGCACAACCCAAAUCAAAAGAAAUCUGGUAUCCUCUGAUUCUAGUUCUCUCAGUUAUUCGAAUCCUUUCACCGAAAGACUUAUCUUCUACCUCUAAGAUGAAAACCUUUUGCUCAACUUUGAAAUCCCUGGAUAAAUGUCUGUAGCUCAUCCUUACUUACCUUUCACUGAGUCGAUUCACGCCCUACAAAGUUCUCUAUGGCCUUCCUGAAACCUUAUCAACUGUGAAUACGAGGCACUUAAGACCAAAAUAAUGAACUUCCAAAUCAUCCUCCUCUUUUCUUUUGGGUAGUGGUUUAGAGUGUUUCUGCCCUUCUUUUGAUCACGACUGAGCUAAUGCUUAAGAAGGUCUCUAUAUAAUAAUAUGAGGACUCGAGGAAUCUGAGUCCCUAAAAUUUAAAUUUGAAUCCAUAAACCCAUAAUCUCUAAAUCCAUAAAAUCUUUCAAAUCCUAAAUCCCUAGAGGCUAGAGAGCAGACAUGAAAGUACCAGAAAUUGAAGCGGACGAACAACGGAACAUGCCCAAGAAUUGAAGAUUUAAAAUAGUCGGCAAGGGACGAAUCGCACAACACAGAAAGGCUUGAGUUUUUUGGCCAACUCAAUAUUUUCAUAUAAUAAUUUUGUUCAAAACAAUUUAAAAUGUAAACUAUGCAGGAGUACUGGAGCUGCAGACAGUUAUUCCCCCUUUUCUGGUUUCAGAAGGAAGGAGGGGUGGGAGGAAUAACAAUAUUAGAGAGCUCAGGUUGUUGGAGCUCAAUACGCCAGUGAAAGUAGACAAGGAAACUACCUCAUAGGCAGCAUACACCUCUGUAUUGAAGCCAAUCUCCUCGCCAUUUUCAUUGGUGCCAAAACCCCUAGGCUUUCCAAAAUAUAUACCUCCAGUGAGCUCUCUUACAACCAUGCUUUAACAACUAUUUAACAGUAACUAUAUUGGAUGACUUAUCAUUCUCCCUAAUAGGCAUCAUCGUGGACAAGACCUUGACACAAGAUGUUGUAGAUGUCAAGAGGGUAGGAGAUAGAAUCAUGGCAAUCAAGAUUGUAAUAGGACAAGAACUUAUCAAUGUGAUUAGUGCGUACGCACCUCAAGUAGAGUUGGAUACGAGUUCGAAGGAGAAAUUUUGGGAAGACCUUGGAGACUUGGUGCAAGGAAUUGCUCAGACGGAGAAGAUAUUUAUAGGAGGAGAUUUAAAUGGACACGUGGGCAGGGAGACAGGCAACUAUGGAAGUUUUCAUGGUGGCCAUGGUUUUGGGGAGAGAAACGAGGAUGGGGAAGCUAUCUUGGAUUUUGCAAUGGCGUAUGAUCUCUUCUUAGCCAACACCUUCUUUAAGAAGAGAGAAGAACAUGUGAUCACCUACAAGAGUGAGUCGUCAAAAACACAAAUAGAUUUUCUUCUAAUGAGGAAAGGGGAUCGUAUAACUUGUAAGGAUUGCAAAGUUAUACCAGGAGAGAGCGUGGCUAAUCAACAUCACUUGUUGGUGAUGGAUGUACAUAUAAAAAUAGAGAAAAAAGAACAAGACUUGGAAGUGCCCAAGGACUAGAUGGUGGAAUCUAAAAGAAGAAAAACAAGUCAUUUUCAAAGAGAAAGUAAUCACCCAGUGUGUGUGGGAUAGAGAGGGGGAAGCUAGCCAAAUGUGGGAUUUCAUGGCUAGUUGUAUCCGAAAAGUAGCAAAAGGGGUAUUAGGAGAGUCUAAGGGCUUUGCCCCACACCAAAAGGAAUCUUGGUGGUGGAAUGAGGAGGUACAAACAAAGGUGAAGGCUAAGAAGGAAUGUUGUAAAGCCUUAUACAAGGAUAUGACCGAUGAAAAUGGUGAAAGGUAUAGAAAAGCGAAGCAAGAGGCGAAGAAAGCUGUGAGAGAAGCUAAGUUAGCGGCUUAUGACGAUAUGUAUAAGCGACUAGAUACCAAAGAAGGAGAGUUUGAUAUCUAUAAACUAGCUAGAGCAAGAGAAAAGAAGACAAGAGACCUAAACCAAAUGAGGUGCAUCAAGGAUGAUGAUGGAAAAGUUCUUGCUACAGAGAACGCGGUUAAAGACAGAUGGAGAGGUUAUUUUCAUAAUAUUUUCAAUGAAGGACAUGAAAGGAGUGCUUCUUUAGGGGAGUUGAGUAACUCAGAAUAGUAGAAACUACUCUUUUUAUCGUCGAAUUCGGAAGGAAGAAGUGGUUGUAGCUUUGAAGAAGAUGAAGCAUAGAAAAGCAGUAGGCCCAGACGAUAUACCAAUCGAAGUGUGGAAAGUUUUGGGAGAGAGGUAUAACAUGGCUCACUGACCUUUUCAAUAGGAUUUUGAAAACGAAGAAGAUGCCAAAUGAGUGGCGAACGAGCACUUUGGUGCCUAUCUACAAGAAUAAGGGCGACGUAAAAAAUUGCAUGAACUAUAGGGGUAUUAAGCUAAUGAGUCAUACAAUGAAGCUCUGGGAGAGAGUCAUUGAGAAUAGAUUGAGGCAAGAGACACGGGUUUCGGACAACCAAUUCGGGUUCAUGCGAGGGCGUUCAACCAUGGAGGCAAUCUAUCUCUUACGAAGAUUGAUGGAAAGAUAUAGAGAUGGGAAAAAGGAUUUACACAUGGUCUUUAUAGAUUUGGAAAAAGCGUAUGAUAGGGUCUCAAGAGACAUUUUUUGGAGGAUUCUAGAGAAGAAAGGAGUACGAGUAGCAUAUAUCCAAGCUAUAAAGGAUAUGUAUGAAGAAGCAAAAACUGCUGUAAGAACUCAUGAAGGACAAACCGAAAGCUUUCCUAUAACUGUAGGAUUACAUCAAUGCUCAUCCUUAAGUCCUUAUCUUUUUGCGUUGGUAAUGGAUGAGUUAACAUGACAUAUUCAAGAUGAUAUUCCUUGGUGUAUGCUUUUCGCAGAUGAUAUGGUGUUGAUAGAUGAAACUCAGGAAAGGGUAAAUGCAAAGCUUAAUCUUUGGAGAGAAGUGUUGGAAUCUAAAGGUAUUCGCCGAAGCCGAUCAAAGACAAUAUAUGGAGUGCAAGUUCAGUGCAAAUGGAGGCCAAAACGAGUUAGGGGUGAGGAUCGGAGAUCAAGAAAUACCAAAGAGCGAUCGUUUUCGUUACCUAGGAUCUAUCUUGCAAAAGAACGGAGAAUUAGAUGGAGAUCUCAACCAUAGAAUACAAGCUGGAUGGAUGAAUUGGAAGAGUGCAUCCGGCGUGUUGUGUGACCGCCGUAUGCCACUGAAGCUCAAGGGAAAAUUUUAUAGGACGGCAAUAAGGCCGGCGAUGCUGUAUGGCACAGAAUGUUGGGCGGUGAAGCAUCAACACGUACACAAAAUGGGCGUAGCGGAGAUGAGGAUGCUUCGUUGGAUGUGUGGGCACACGAGAAAGGAUAAGAUUAGGAAUGAGGAUAUCCGGGGUAAAGUAGGAGUAACCGAAAUUGAAGGAAAGAUGAGAGAAAAUCGGUUACGGUGGUUUGAACAUGUGCAAAGAAGGCCUACUGACGCUCCGAUUAGAAGAUGCAACUAUGGGACAGAGGUUCAGGGACAAAGGGGUAGAGGAAGACCUAGGAAAACUUUGGAACAGACUUUAAGAAAAGACUUAGAGUACUUGGAUCUAACGGAGGACAUGACACAGGAUCGAGCACAAUGGCGUUCUAAGAUUCAUAUAGCCGAUCCCACUUAGUGACUUGGAUUUUUCAAGUCUCCAACCGAGAAGUUUUCCUCCCUUGGGAAAUUAAGGGAACACUACCUCAACCUACAUGCUCCACUCACAAAGCUUCAACAUACAAGCUUCAACAAAAGAAAAUUCAAAGAACUUAGCGAGGAAGGUUUUGGUGUAUAUAACACAAUACGUUGAAAUGAAUGAAAGUUUAUAUAUUGAUAUCCUCGAUAAGUUACAAAUAUGUACAUAUACAUGAGUCAAAAUAAACACUCAUGAGGGAGCCUUCACAAAUGUUGCUUAGGAGAAGUCUCAGCAGUCGGUAGAGCCCCAGAAAGAGAAGGCACCGGAGGGGGAUCAUUCGGAGCCUCCGUACUGGACAGAACCCUAGAAGGAGGCAUCAGAGGUUGAUCAUUUGGAGCUUCAUUACGCGGUACAGUCCCAGAAGACGAAGGCAAUAAAUGCCUUUGGAACAAACCCACAAAUAUCUGAUGAUCAAGUAAAACCUGACCAUCAGAUUCCUUCAUCUGGUCAAGCUUCCUCUUUAUGUUUGUAGCAUAGUCAUGUGCGAGCCGGUGCAACUGUUUAUUCUGAUGCUUGAGCCCUCUAAUCUCCUGUUUGAGACUUAUCACUUCAGCCGCCAAUGAUUCAACUUGGCGGGUUCGAGCAAAUAGGCGUUGGGCCAUAUUAGACACAGAACCUGCAUACUGAACACUGAGAGCCAAAGAAUCCUUAACAGCCAACUCAUCAGACUGUUUGGAAAGUAGUUUGUUAUCUUUGGGAGUGAGAAGGUUCCUGGCCACCACCGCAGCGGUUAUAUCAUUCUUCAUCACGGAAUCCCCAACGGUAAGAGGACCAGUAGGGGAGACGAAGGAUGGGCGCCAUAUGUUGUCUGGAGAAGGCGUGGCUGCCUCUUCAACAAGGUUCAAGUCAAAACGACGGUUGGAGGGGCCAGACAUUUUCAAAGGUGUUGAAGAGAGAAGAGGUCGGACAAAUCAAGAUCUUAGAAGUGCAAGAAUAGAGCUUCUACUGGUGGAGAUUCAAGUGUGCUUUGGAACUUAAUGUCAGCCUCUAUAAAAAUCUGUACUCGACGGAGCUUCAGAAAUCGAAGAGGCGCCUGCUCAGAAAUCGAAGAGGCGUUUGCUUUCUCAAAAGCUGUGCUGCUCAGAGACCACGAGGGUCGAUCUCAGAAAUCGAAGAAGCGUUUGCUUUCUCAAAAGCUGGGCUGCUCAAAGACCACGAAGGCCGAUCUCAGAAAUCGAAGAUGCGCUUGCUUUCUCAAAAGCUGGGCUGCUCAGAGAUCACGAGGGCCGAUCUCAGAAAUCGAAGAGGCACCUACUUUUCCAGCCUUGUCAGCACCUGUCACACGCACACUCAGCUUUGUGGAAAUUAUGGGCAUUCUGUCGAAGAUUUCUGGUGAAGUAGAAAGCACAUGAAUCUUACUGUUCAAUCACCCACUUCCCACACGCAACAUUAGCUCAUGGGUACCACAGAUAACUUUGCCAAAGUUCUCUGACAAAGUUGAGACACGUGAAGCUUGCAGCUCCCACUACAUCGCUCUGACCAAGAAGGGUAAAAGAAUAGCAAAGAAACAGCACUAACAAAGUUUAGACACAUAAAUUUUGAAGGUCUAGCUACCAUAUUAUUACCCACAAGGGUAAAGGAACAGUACCACUGCUGAAUAAUUGGAAAGUCCAUGUGUGUUAACCUUUGUGCUUCGUGGCAAGGUAGACUAGCACACAUGCCCAACCUUUACUCAUAUUCGAGAAAACUUCCAACAAGAUUGCUUGCUCCAAAAUCGAAGAGGCACCGCCCUCCGAAUCUCGAGAGCCAGACUUCCAACAUGAUUACUUUCUCAAAAAUCGAAGAGACACCGCUCUCCGAAUCUCGAGAGCCAGACCCCUAGCGUGAUUACUUUCUCAAAAAUCGAAGAGACAUCGUUCUCCGAAUCUCGAGAGCCAGAUCCUCGACAGGAUUGCUUGUUCAAAACCGAAAAGGCACCACUUUCCCAACUUCAAAAGUCGGAUCUCCUUGGAUAAAGCUUGUCUGUAAUCUUCACACGCAACAUCAGCUUUCCAGAUACAACAGACCACUUUUUCAAAGUGCUCUGACAGAGUUAAAACAUGUGAAGCUGGCAGCUCCCACUAUCGUGCCAUGACCAAGCAGGGUAAAGGAAUAGCAUUACUACUUGUUGUUAGGGAGACUCUUAUAUAUGUCGACUUCCAUCCCCAACGGACAGACAGACCUGCAAAAAUGCUCAACCCUUCCUCAUAUCUGAGAGGGCACUCCCAACGAAGCCUUUCGAAAUAUACAGCUUUCUUUCCCCCCGAUAAUACCUCUGCAAACAAGCUAUACUAGAGCAAGAAUAUCUCAUAUCAUCAGGGUUAAAAGCAAGAGUAUCCCAUAUCAUGCUUUUUCCCUGUCUUUCCCUUUGGCCUUGUUCUUACCUGCAAGACAAGGAGAGAGAGCAAUCAGUCAGCACUUGGAAUCAAGCUUCCAGUCAGGAACUGACUGCCUGGAACCCCUUAU